RNAcentral lists this long non-coding RNA (60217 nucleotides) under Triticum aestivum (bread wheat). RNAcentral describes it as "long non-coding RNA (TAES_LNC004615)". Lineage: Eukaryota; Viridiplantae; Streptophyta; Magnoliopsida; Poales; Poaceae. The record is from RNAcentral.
GACACCCACCUGGGAGGCGAGGACUUCGACAACCGGAUGGUGAACCACUUCGUGCAAGAGUUCAAGAGGAAGAACAAGAAGGACAUCAGCGGCAACCCGAGGGCGCUCCGGCGGCUGAGGACGGCGUGCGAGAGGGCGAAGAGGACCCUCUCUUCCACCGCCCAGACCACCAUUGAGAUCGACUCGCUCUACGAGGGGAUCGACUUCUACGCGACCAUCACCCGUGCCAGGUUCGAGGAGCUCAACAUGGACCUCUUCCGCAAGUGCAUGGAGCCCGUCGAGAAGUGCCUCCGGGACGCCAAGAUGGACAAGACCCAAAUCCACGACAUCGUGCUCGUCGGAGGCUCCACCCGGAUCCCCAAGGUGCAGCAGCUCCUCCAGGACUUCUUCAACGGGAAGGAGCUCUGCAAGAGCAUCAACCCCGACGAGGCCGUCGCGUACGGCGCCGCCGUCCAGGCCGCCAUCCUCAGCGGCGAGGGCAACCAGAAGGUGCAGGACCUGCUCCUGCUCGACGUGACGCCGCUCUCGCUCGGGUUGGAGACGGCCGGAGGCGUGAUGACGACCCUGAUCCCGAGGAACACCACCAUCCCCACCAAGAAGGAGCAGGUCUUCUCAACCUACUCGGACAACCAGCCCGGCGUGCUGAUCCAGGUGUACGAGGGCGAGAGGACGAGGACCAAGGACAACAACCUGCUGGGCAAGUUCGAGCUGUCCGGCAUCCCGUCGGCGCCCAGGGGCGUACCCCAGAUCACGGUGACCUUCGACAUCGACGCGAACGGCAUCCUGAACGUGUCGGCGGAGGACAAGACGACCGGGCAGAAGAACAAGAUCACCAUCACCAACGACAAGGGGCGGCUGAGCAAGGAGGAGAUCGAGCGCAUGGUGCAGGAGGCGGAGAAGUACAAGUCGGAGGACGAGCAGGUGCGGCACAAGGUGGAGGCCCGCAACGCGCUGGAGAACUACGCGUACAACAUGCGCAACACGGUGCGGGACGAGAAGAUCGCGUCCAAGCUCCCCGCCGACGACAAGAAGAAGAUCGAGGACUCCAUCGAGGACGCCAUCAAGUGGCUCGACGGCAACCAGCUCGCCGAGGCCGACGAGUUCGAGGACAAGAUGAAGGAGCUGGAGAGCAUCUGCAACCCCAUCAUCUCCAAGAUGUACCAGGGUGCUGGCCCGGGCGGCGCGGCCGGCAUGGACGAGGACAUGCCCGGCGGCGGCGCGGGCACCGGCGGUGGGAGCGGUGCCGGGCCCAAGAUCGAAGAAGUGGACUGAGUGAGUCGUGACAGGUCCUGGAGUGGUAGUGUGUUCUGUUGCCUGUGGUCGUGUGUGGUUCUGUCGAAUAACGAGGACGCUUGUAUGAGUGUAGUUAUUAAUGAUGUAGUACUAGGUUAGUAGAGGAAAUGAUAAAUAAUGUGUAAACGCAAGAACGACAUACACAUGUGGUUCUUGUACUACUAUGUUGUUUUUGCCUGAGUUCAGGAGAUGAAAAAUAUGUUCGUUGUCCUUGAUUACCGAAAAAGGGUUUGCCCGCUUUAUAUUACCACAAACAGUUCACAAAUUUUUAAAAUGUGUGAGUUCGAAAAAUGUUCACCAAUUUUUUUUAAAAAAAACUAUUUGAAGAAAGUUCGUGAAUCUAAAGAAGUUCACUAAUUUUAAAAAGUGAGUGAGUUUGAAAAAAAAUCACGAUUUUUAAUAAAGUUCAUUAAUUUGGAAAAAGUUCAAAGAUUUGAAAAAGUUUGUGAAUUUGAAAAAAAUCAUAAAUUUGCAAAAAAUGUUCACAAAAUAAAGAAGAUUGAAAUAAAAAUGAAAAACAAAACAGAAACUAGAAAAGGGAAAAAUGAAAAACAAACCAAACAAACAAAAACCGGUGAAACAUAAACUAGAGAAAGAAAACAGCCAGCGAGUAAACCGAAAAAGAAUAGGAAAAGAAAAAAAAGGCAGAAGUUCCACAAAACCGUGGAGGAAAUGCUUCCGUUAAAAUGAACAGGUGUGCGCCAACUACCAAAUAGCCUUUUAACUCUUUAACUCGCGCCUUGAGUGUCAAAUAGGAACUGACAUAUAUGUAAAGGCUAAUUGGUUUGAUGCUAAAAGUUAACAUUCUAAAAUUUGACAACUGCCAAAUGUUGGCUAAAGAUUGGUUGCAUAUUCAUUUUCGUUGCCAAUCUUACAAAAAAUCUUACAAAAUAUUAUCAAUGCUUGCUACUUUUGAUUUUGCAAAAUAUUAGCAAUGCCAAAUAGUGGUAGCAAACCAACGUAUUAUCGAAUGAUUAUCCAGGAGAGAAAACUAAAGAUGGGAAGUCUUGAAAUGGUCAAUGUGAUCCAUGAGAAGCGGGAGCUGAAUCUUGAAGCACACAAGCUAGUAAAAGGUGCAAUACUAUUGGUUGACAUUAAUUGACCGUAUUGGCUAUUGCUUAGCUAAAAUAUUCCCUUGCGUUAUGGUUUGGCUCCUCUCGCCGACUUAUCGUCUGUGCCAUCCACCCUCCCCCCUCCCCCGCGCCCUAGUUUCGUUCAGGCUGAGGGAAGACGAGUUCUGCUACCCAGCCUUGGGAGACUUUGUGGUGCUGUUGGCGGCUCCACACCAUCUCCUCGGCAAGGGUUUUUGCAAUGGCAACGUCGGCUAAAUUUAUUGAGACUCCCUUGCUGGUUUGAUCUAUUAAGAACUAGCAAAUUUAUGUCGGGGGCAUGAUCAUGAUAGGGAAGGAUGGUAAGCAGACUGAUUUUUUAAUAGAUAAUUAGAUUGGUAAUGGCUCAUUAAAAGAUCAGUUUCUCAAUCUCUUUGGGAUUUGUAUUGAACAAACUAAAUAUGUGAAACAAAUGGCUAAGAACAUCUAGGAUCUUAUAUUUAUUAGAAGAUGGCUCAACUCUAACCGUAUGAUCCGGUUGAUUUAGAAUUAUGAUGCAAUCUAUUAGUCUAGUGCCUAGGAAGGAAGAUAUACCAAGAUGGAUUUGGAAUAGGAAAGGAAAAUUCACAGUUAAAUCAAUUAAGUGGUCCUGGUAGAUCAUUUAAACAUCCGUGAAAAGCUAAAUUUUCUCUAAAAAUCAACAUUUGGUUCUGGCUAAUACAGUAUGGCAUAAUGCAGUCGCCACAAUAGAUAAUUCUGAAAAGAAAGCGGACUGACGACCCUCUCUGUCGUUUUUGUCCUGAAGUUGAGAAUAUUAACCACCUCUUCUUUAGAUGUCUUGCAUAUUUUACACAAUAUUUUUGGUGGAUCCCCAACUUUAUUUCACAAAGCAGGAACCUACACAUUGUAGGAAUUGUUGCGGUGUGCUGAGUUAUCUAGAAACUAAGUAACGGAGCCUACUUUGAGGAAAUUGGUUCGCUUCAUGACUGAAUUUAUUUGCUAUGAUCGCUCAUUUAUGCGUUAUUGGGCAGGAUUAAAAAAUGAAGGACAUCGACUAGCGCCGGAGAAAGGGGCUGAAACUUUGAAGGACGAGGUAAUGGGAAUGCAUGAUAGCAGUGAGGCUAGAUCGGGGAAAGGCACACUCAUGCCAGAGGCGAGGAGACCCAAAGAGGAUAAAGAUGAAGAUAGAGAAGAUGAUGAUGCUGAAGCAAUGGAUGGCGAUAACUGUGAGCCGUUCAUAAGGAUGAUUGUGAAAUGUUGGAAUGAUGGUGGAGAUACACUCUUGGGUAAUAUAUAUACUGCUAGGUUUUUUGUGUGUUCCUCUAGGUUUUCCUACGUUCUUUAGUUCUUGAGCCUGUUUUAGUUUUUGAUUUGCACUAGGAUGUUGUUUCUCUUUUAUUUAUAUUAUGUUAUCUUUAAUAGUGGAACCCGAUCCAUCUUUAAUCAAAUGGAGAAAGUUCAACAUGGGCUACAUUUGGCCCAAUAGUUAUACAUGACUUUUCAGUAUCGGUCUAUUGAAACUAAAAUUGGGGAUUUCCUAGUUGCCGCGUGUUGCGGCGAAUUGUCCACCAAUAACACAGAAAAGGGAGCGACCGAGUAGGAGAUGGGUCAGCCCAAUUAGCUAAUACUCGUUUACGGUUUUGGGAGCGUUCAAGCUAUAGUUUUUAUAAUUGUUUUCUUGUUCUUUUCCAGUUUUUUUUUUUUUGAAAACUUAUCCCGAAUUUCAAAAGUUCAAGUUUCCAAAAUUUGUUUAAAAAUUUCAAAAAAUUAUUGUGUUUUAAAAAAUUUCAGAAUUUCGAAAAAUGUUUCAUUUUCAAAAACUUGAGAAAAAAUUUCACAUUUGAAAAAAAGUCAUGUUUUUAAUAAAAUAUUUAGAAUUUAUAAAAAUGUGGCCAAAUUUUAAAAUAUUAGAUUUUUCGAAAAUUAUUUUUAAAAACAGGUUUUGAAAAUCUGUGCAGAUUUAAAAGAAAAUAUUUAAAAUUUCAAAAACAUUUUUACAAAUUUCAAAAAUAGUUUGUGUUUGAAUAUAAAAACUGACUAAAUAAACUAGUGAAAAAGGAAUGCCUUUUUCAGUGACACCUGUAAUUUUAUUCAUACUCAUAACAAUUACAGGUACACUGAUUUGGUUAUAAGAUCCAAGAAAAUACAAAAUAACUCCUAUGACUAAGAAUUACAAUGAAAUUUCUUGGAAACACCUUCUUCAUUGUAUCAAUCUCUGCUAGAAGAAAUACUCCAAAAACUUUAGUAAAGAGGCUGCAAUUAGACUGGAGCAACAAUAUUGCCACUCUUUCACCAUCACGAACAUUACCAAUAAUGGUUUUUGAAAUCACCUUGAAUCGCCCAUCCAAAAAAAAUGGAAAGCCUUGAUCGUUAAACGUACUUGGGCCGGGGAUGCUCCCCUAAAAGUGCAGGCCGUCAGAUCACAAUAUCUUCACCAAUGUGUCGAUGAAAGAUUUUAACUUCACAAAGAAUCAAACCAACAAAAAAGUUUGACACACCAAUAUAAACUCAGGAGAUCCGAGUAAUCAAAUUUGCGAGGAAGAAAACUGUCUAACCUCACGGCACCGUCAGAAGAACGAGAGUAAAUUUAUUCUCAUAAAAUAUGAUAAUCAGUAGAUGAUGACGAAGAACAUAGGAUUCUUGAAGAUGCGAGGUCCCCCCAUCACUCAACGUCAAGAUGAUAACCGAAGGUGAGGGGACCAAAAACUCUGCUGUAGCCCUAGCGAUCGACCGGGUCAUCCUAAUGAACGUAGAUGUGCUUUUUUUGAACACGGUACUUACGAAAGCGCUCAUAAGACGCGCGUACACUCAUCCCUAUGAACGCACACCGGCACACGUGCACAUCCUAUCCCUAUGAGCACCUCCGAGAGACUGAGGCAGCAUAUCAUUUUGAGAUUUUACGAAGUCACCGUAGGCACCUCGUAGUUGACGGGAACCUCUCCUCCUGCUGAACGUGCAUCGCCAGAAAUUCUGAAAUAAAUCCAGGAUAAAUGCAAGCACCAGAAAUUGAACCCUGCUGGGCCGUGGAUACCACUGUCUUUCUAAGCAUCCAACCAGAGGUUGGUUCGCGAGAGUAAAUUGUUGAUGGGCCGGCCCAGUUAGCGACCCCCUGUGCGGAAAGCUUGACUAUUUGCCACAGUGAGCGGCAAAUAGGAGCUCCCAAAAAAUUGAACCAAACAACUAAGUAGCUCCCUCAGAUGGAGGCCCGAAGUCUUAAAAGAGAUGACUGGAAUUCUUCCAGAUUCAGGGAACUCACAAUCUUUAAACAGAAACUCAACAUAAGCGAUCUUUUCUGUCUAAGAUAUCUGCAGUCACCGUCCUAGCUUCUGAACGAAUCUGGACUCGGCCAUCAUCUGAACGCUCUACCAGUUUUGCUUCCGCAAUCUUCUCACUGUCUGGACCUUUGAAUAUCUGGUAUGCCCCUAACGCUCUACGUCCUGACGCACAAAGAAGAAUCUAUUGGCAUGUUGCUGGAGAGAGGCGUCCCGAUCCGGCUACCCCACGACGUAUCCAUCCAUCCACCCACACGCAGACCACGCUACAGAACUUGACCAGCUCUAUCGUUUCUAAGCCAACAUGACGACGUGUCGUGAAAAGAUCCCCAGAAGCCGGCGCACUUGCGGGUUGUCGGACAGGUGGAGCAUUUGACGUGUAAACCAUUAUUAGAAGAAAAAAGCAUGUUCAGAUUCAGAAAGAUUUCAGGUAAAGACUGAUUCCUAGGCCGGGCGAGCAAUAAGGUGGGGAGUAUAUUCGAUAGGGAUACCAUUACGGAUAAGCACUCGGUGCAUGCUCCUGCGACGACAUAAUGCACCAGCGGUCUGGAGUAUAAUAAGAACCUGGGGGAUAGUACAUCAUCGAGGAAACAUACCAUGCGCUGACAGGCCGUACGAGAAAGUGACAGAAGCCCAAUUUAUCCCUACGGAUAAAAUUUGGUUACAACUUACAAGGCCAGGAAACAGUCUAACACUGUACGGAUUCAUAGUACUGCCACCAUAUGUAUGCAUAGCAUAGUUCUGCAAAAUUUGACCCUCGGCUCCCUCUAUUUAUCGGUCCUUAAUGAAUGCAAGGGCACCUUUUCUUUAGUCAUAGGUCGAAUCGUUCCACAAACAAGAGGAGGAGCUUAUCCAGUUGAGACAGGAACCAGGAAAAAGCAGCACUAUUUACUGGAUUAUUAUUUACUACAGGGGUGCCGAGUGUGCCAAAUAAUAAGCACUCAACAAUUCGAGAGCUUAUCAAAAGCUCCUCCUCCUACUCGCGGCCCCGGAGCCAUGGCAAAGCUCUUCUGUGGGUGGAGCAGCCACAGAAGAGGCGCACCUUAUAAAGCGGCCCUUGAGAGGAGGAAAGGCCGGCUUAUCGAAACGUGCAGAUAAGAGGGGGCGCGCAUAUAAACCAUACGCACGCCCAGCAACAGCAACACAAAAGGUAAACAAAACAAACAAAACGACGGUGUCAAGUUGCCACAUCGCAACGCCAUCCUUCGUAGGUCAACAGGAUCGGAUUAACAAAUGAUUAUUAUCGAUAACGCUAAUCGCAAGUGGAUAUGCGCGAGGUCCUCAGGCCUCAGCACAGGAACAAACAUCGCCUUUCGACAGUCCUAUCCAUGCGUCCAGGAAUUAUAAUGCAACCUGGCCAGAAAUGACGCCGCGCCGGCUGUCUAUGUCAUUUAAGACCAAUCGGUCGUGGAACCGAGUCGCCUCCAAAGGAAGAAUCAUAGAACACACCAACUAUAACCCAACUUGCAAGAUAAGAUGACAACGAUGCUGCUCGCCCUGCAUCUUGUACCUCAUUUACUCACCCACAUCGUGAGUGGUUCGGAAAAAAAAAAGGUUCUCAAAAGAUGAUGCAGGGUGAGCAGCAGCUGGCAGUCCCAGGGCAAAAACUUAAUAUCAAAACAGUUGCCACUUUGUUAUGAGAAAAAUUCUCUGGUUGCUAACAAGGUGUUGCGUGAGACGUAGGACACCAGAAUAGGUAAAUACCUCCAAAUGGGGCUAAUCCUAUCCUUGCAGAUACUUCACUUCAGCAAAAGAAAAAUGCAGAUACAACUCAGCGUUGCGAACACUGCAAUCACUUCAGCGGGGUUGAAGUUGAACUGAACAUAAUACCAAAGCAUAUGAAAGUGAAUUCAAAUUACUACAGCAGUGCACAUAACUGAUAAAGACUAAAAUCUAUAUUGAUGACAGAUUGUUUACAUUGGUACCUUCAAACAAUUGCACUCGCCUUCCAGCAAUUUCCUGGAAAGCGUUCGAAUGCUGAUAAAAACAAUAGUACCGACAAAACAUGGACAAAUCCUACAAACACUUGCAUGAGCUCCUUUCUUGGAUGAAAUUUCCAAGAAUGACCACAAAGCAGACUUCUCACCAACCUAUGAAAACUGACUAUAAAUGCCUAAACAGACUGCUCACCAGAGUAAUGCACAGAUGGAAGCACAUUGAGCAGGCGACAAACCUUUUAAUACAAACAAAAAUUCCACAAAUCAAAAGAUAAUACACAAGGUACUCCCCAGCAACGAUACCAAAACAUAGGGCGCUAUGUUCCUUGUGGCCUGUAGCAUGCCCCUAAAUUUCCACAGCUGCCAACUUCCAACUACCAGAAUGCUUCAAUCGACUAGGACUGCUCCGUCACAAUUAGCAAAACUGAGCUGCAUUUGUUGUAUGGUAACAUCCACACCUUGUCUCCCCGCAUACUAGAGGGUUAGCAGACAAGACAGCAAAGGAUCAGUCAAGAGCAGCUGACAAUAAUAGACACUCUAACUACUACAUGAACAUCUAUCACACACCUUCAACAUGUUUUCAUUGGCACCAUGAUGAGGGAGGCCUCAGGGACACACGGACUUCAUGUUCUUCAGGUCCAGCACGGUGUUUAGGGACAAUAAUCUCUAGGCCUGUUCCUGAUUCAUCACAGUAUGCUUCCAGAGUAGCAUCUUCUGGGAUCCGGGUAGGCAAUGGAACUUCCCGGAUGAACUCCCCUGGUGGACAAUGCUCAGGUGAAGGAUCCGUCAACUUGAAGGUCCGGUCAUGUCGCUUCAAGAAUGGCAUCCGUCCGACACUAGUGCAUGAUAUCUUAACGACACCAUUCGUAAGAGUGUUCUUCCAGGUAACCUUCACCUUCUGUAUAUCAGCAAAUGGCAGGCUAAUGAUGAUCAAGUAGCCCUUGCUAUCUUCAUAUAUUGUUUUUGCGGCAGUUACUGGCCCAGAAGCAUGACGCAUCACACCAGUGAAGUCAUUCGUCCAUGAUGGCUCAAAAGUGUGGCUCACAUCCAUGUCCUGAACCUUGUCUGAAUUUGAAUUGCUGCAAUCCUCUUCCAUGGCAGAGGGGGAGGAAUCCUUCCUACGUUUGUGGCACACGCCUGAGAUGUCCAUACCAUCCCCAGAACCAUGCUUUGAUGCAUGUGUUGACAGGUUAAGGCCAGAACCAUUCAGCACCUUCUUGUGAUGGCCAUGUGAGGUGCUCUUUGCUGGAGCAGCAGUUGCAGGCCUCUCGAGCUCAAAUUCCGUGGUCGGCAGAUUCCUCCAUGAUUCAAAAUCAUCCGCCUCAGUGGGAACCAAGAAAUUGGCAUCUCUCCCAGUGAGCUCGAACCACCUCUUCAUAUCAGCCUCAGGAACACCCACUAAGUUUGGUGCCCGCACGAUCUCAAUCCCAUGAAGGCACUGCGGGUUUGACAACCCCCGGUAGUGCUUACGCUGCAUCCGGUGUGAGCGCACAAACCCUUUGUCUGCGCUGAAAGGAAACUGUGGCUCCCCAAGGCGCGAGUGACCGUUCAUGAAGCUCCUCAGCUGCAUCUUCCCCAGGGCAUUCUCCGGCCGGUCCUUAAACACCCACAUGUACAUGUUCUCCAUGUCAUGCUGCACCAGGAAAGCAUCCAGAGUGGCACUAUUACCAUUCCCAGCAGCAGUGGGUGCCUUCGUCUUGCCGCCCUUAUCAGCCGACAUGACCGGCUUGAAGUAGUGGGUGAAGAAGAACCAUGCACCCCAGAUGCUAUCAUUCCGCUUCACGCACUUGCGCGCGGCGCUGGAACCGGAGCUCUUGGUGUGAGACACAUGGACAGUUGUUGUGGUGGACACCGGGGCCGAGGUCACGGCGGCAGCAGCAGGCGAGUCCGAGUCAUAGAGCUGCGGGCAGCCGAGGCCAACAUCCAGCAUGUCGACGUUGGAUUCAUGGAGGUUGGUGGUCUGCAUGGCCGGAGGGGGAGGCGACGGGUCAGCGGCGAGGGGGAGGUUGAUGUCAGGGGGGGCGGCUGCGGCGGCAUGGAGGCAGCGCUGGAAGGGGCCUGGCGGCGGGAGGAAGAGGUCGAACUCGUCGUGGGAGGCAGUGUCCAUGGAGAGGAAGGUGGAGGGGCCCUGGUGCGGGUGGUGGGCCGUGGCGGUGUCCAUGGAGAGCGCGGUGAGCAGCGACUCCCCCAUGGAGGCGGCGGCGGCGGCGGCCGUGAGGGGCGGAGCAGCCCUGUUCCAGGCCUCGUCCCCCGGCGGCUGCGCGUCGUCCGUGGCUGCGCUGGUGCCCAACUCUCCGUCGCUUCCGCCUCCACCGCCUCCUCACCGCGCGCUCCUCUCCUCCGAAUCUCUCCACGAGCAUCAGUUAACAGCCAGGCUUCACAUCUCCCUCGCGUCCAUCACACGGCCGGGAGGAGGCUUCCCUGCAAAUCAAAUCACACGGGGAAAAAUCACAUCAAUCAAUCCCGCAUUCGAAGCCCAAAUCUAACGAGAAACCCCACGAAUUCGAGAUCCGGCCCGAGGAAAGCCACGUACCUACGCGAAAUCCAAGGGCUCCGCAACCCUAAAAAUCGAAGAAGAACAACCCCGGCAAGAACGUAGCGGAGGCCUCUCUCGCAGCAGAGCAGAGUUGCAACCAAUCAAUCAGUCGAAAUCAAAUCGAAUUCCUGUUGAAUGUUGAUGAGCAGCGGGUGGGGGAGGUGGGAAGGGGGGAGACGGUAACGGAGGAGGGGGGGAGUUAAAGGCGCCGGUGGGCGCAGAAGGAGCCGGGGCGGGGGGCGGAGGCGGCCUCCCCCAGAAGGAGCCGGGACGAGGGGGAGGGUGGGGGGCCGUUACUUGACGGUGACGGCUGCCUGGGCGGGAAGGAUUGGCUCGCCUUGGAUCGGGAACGCCAGCCAGAGGAGGGUGAACGGGAUCGACGGGCUCUCCUCUCCUCUGCCCUCCUCUCUAGUCGAGUUUGGAUUCUUUUGGGUUGCAAAAAUAUUGCUGUUUUGAAAAUGGCACUACCGUGCUUUGUACAACUUUUUUUGUGUGGGGAAAUUCAUUGUUUGCAAUUCCAUGAAGAAAGUGUCUGACUUUUUUAUUUCCCACUGCUCGCAUUUUUUAUGAAAUUUGAAAUAUGUAACAAACUUGAGUUAUCAGCAUUUAAUUACUUUCAGCUGAUUGGAAAAUAUAUUGUUUAAAUGGAUUUUAUUCCGGACACACCUCAUAGUUUUCGAGUUGUGAACGUGCAUAAGUAGUUCGACUAGAAUAACGGCCCUUUUGUUCAAACCAAAAAGGCACAAUCUUUCUCCUUGAUAGUUUGCUACAUGUGUCACUAUUAAUAAGUACUAUAUAACAAAAAAGGCAUUCUUUUUUUUUCUUAAUUAAGCUUCUGUUCUGCGAAUCUACUAAGGAGAACUGCCGUACAGUCCUAUCUUUUUUUAAGAAAGAUCGUAGAUGAUUAGUAGCUCUUUUUCGAAAUCGAUUUUGAAAAAGAAUGGAAUAGGAGGAAAAAAAGCUUAUGAUGAGCAUCUAUUGGAGUCGAUCAUUUCCAAGAUCUAAUUCUAGUUUCUUAUUAUGUAGUGGAAACGCCUCACAAUCUUCAGUUUUAGGCUUACGCUUAAGGGAAGAAAUGUUCUUGGUUUGCCACAUAUGUCAUUAUUAAUGGACCCCAACGCCGAGCGAACCUAAGAAAUUUAGGGUUCCCAGGGAACACCGCCAAAAGCCAUUGAAUCAUGAUCCAACAUAUGGCAAUUUCUUUACAUGACGUGGCAAUUUUUCCACUAUUUUGUUUGCACUACAUGACAACUUUUGUCUUCUAUCAUGGCACAUUUACUGAAGUUGCCAUGGCAAGUCCGGGGCGUUCGCUGGGAAAACGCUCCCAAGAAACUUUCACGAGAUAACGUUUUCCUUGUUAAUAAGCGCUAUAUAUAAGGUGUGGAGCAGGUGCCCGCUUUGUAUGGGCAUUUCUAUUAUAUAGCUACAAUAUUGUCCAUGUUUCGUCGUAGGUGGGCCUCCUAUUGAUUCCACUCGGGGCAGGACGCUGUCAUGCAAACCCACGAUGCACUAGUGAUGGGGCCAUGCCAUGAUGCCGAUGGAGAUUGACGGUGUUACGUUCCAGGGGUGCCUCACCUGAUCGAAAGUCGGCCUGAGUAGCCCCCCCCAGAUGGGUUACGCCAUGGGCUGAUUAGCCCGGCCCAUGGCCCUACAACAAGGUGGACCCAAAAAACUUGGAGCAUACGACGAGAUUACCAACGUCAAGGAGGACUCCCCCAACCAACUUAAACAUGUAGCCAUAGACCUCGGUACCCAUAUAAGUCGAGGUCACAGAUAGUCAAAUAGAAAAAGAAUCCUAGAGCUAUUGCUCAAUACCUCGAUACUUGUAACCCCUAUACAAACAAGAGCAACAAAGAAGGAGUAGGGUAUUACCUCUUCCACGAGGGCCUGGACCUAGGUAAAACUCUGCCUCUAUUUCCAUCGGAUCUACUCGCCUAGUCAGAUACACUAUAGAGGGAUCUGUCGGAAAAUAAUCCGAUAGUGGCGCGCGAGUUAAGGGUUGUACUAGGUGAACCCAGAGAUCUGACAGCAUCUUUUGUUGACGCCGAUGCCAUAAUGAUGGGUCAGAUCUCCAUGUUCGACUCGAGUUCUUUCGCUACCGACUCAGCGGGCCGUAUUGGGCUUGUCGAGACCUAUGCACCAAGCCAGAUUGUCCAGUUCAGCAAUCUAGAACUCAUUACCGAUUCGCGCGGCAAGCUCAUCCUCCAAGGCAUGAUUCCUAGCCCAGCCUUGGAGCGACCGGCAAACUUCACAAACCCGUCGAUGCCCCAUGUUGUGGCCAACGUCGACUCUCCAUGUCGUCCUGGAGGAGGAGGUCAGCGACACUGAGGAGGUCAAGGAUUUCGGCGAAGAGAUGUGGGACUGAUACGUCUCAAACGUAUAUAUAAUUUUUAUUGUUUCAUGCUAUUAUAUUAUCAUUUUUAUAUACUUUUUAUAGGAACUUAUAUUAUUUUUAUGGACUAACCUAUUAAUUUAGUGCCCAGUGUCAGAUCAUGUUUUCUGCUUGUUUUCGGUUUCACGAGAAAUCAAUAUCUACGGAGGUCAAAAUAUGUUGUCAGUUUAACACGACUUUCUGGGCAACAAGAAACAACGGAAGCUUCAGAGAGAUUGAGACGCGUGAGACGUCCAUUUGCAUCAUGUUUUCCUACUAAUAUUUACAACAUUUUUUAUCAUUAUAAUACUUUGUGAUGCAAUUCUAAUGCCUUUUCUCUCUUAAUUUGUAAGAUUUACAUGAAGAAGGAGAUUGCCAACAGCUGGAAUUCUGGACCUGGAAAAGCUACGUCAGGGAUACCCAUACUGCAGAACUCCAAAUGAGAUGAAAUCUCACGAAGAAUUUUUAUAGAAUAUAUAAAAAGUACUAGAGCAAAGAAGUACCAGAGGGGACCCACCAGCUGCCCACAAGGCAGCAGGGCCCAGGGGGCGCGCCCUAGUGCCUUGUUAGGCCACUGGCUGGCCUCUGGCCCCCAUCUUCUUCUAUGUGGAGAGUUUUGACCUAGAAAAAAUAAAGAGAGAACUUUUGGGAUGAAGCACCGCCGUCUCGAUGUGGAACCUGGGUAGAAGCACUUUUGCUCUCCGGCGGAGCGAUUCCGCCGGGGACACUUCCCUCCGGGAGGGGGAAAUCAAAGCCAUCGACAUCACCAAUGAUCCUCUCAUCAUGGGAGGACAAAUCUUCAUCAACAUGUUCACUAGCACCAUCUCGUGUCAAACCCUAGCUCAUACCUUGUAUUCAAUCUUUGUCUCAAAACCUUAGGUUGGUACUUGUGGGUUGCUAGUAGUGUUGAUUACAUCUUGUAGUUGAUGCUAGUUGGUAUAUUUGGUGGAAGAUUACAUGUUCAGAUCCUUAAUGAUAAUCAAUACCCCUCUGAUCUUGAACAUGGAUAUGAUUUGUGAUUAGUUACUUUUGUUCUUGAGGACAUGGGAGAAGUCUUGUUAUAAGUAAUCAUGUGAAUUUGGUAUUCAUGUGAUAUUUUGAUGAUAUGUAUGUUGUUGCUUUCUUUAGUGGUGUCAUGUGAACGUCGACUACAUGACAUUUCACCAUACUUGGGCCUAAAGGAAUGCAUUAUGGAGUAGUAAUUAGAUGAUGGGUUGCUAGAGUGACAGAAGCUUAAACCCUAGUUUAUGCGCUAUUCCAUAAGGGGCUGAUUCGGAUCCAUAUGUUUCAUGCUAUGAUUAGAUUUAUCUUAAUUCUUCUUUCAUAGUUGUGGAUGCUUGCGAGAGGGGUUAAUCAUAAGUGGGAGGCUUAUUCAAUUAAGAACAGCACCCAAGCACCGGUCCACCCACAUACCAAAUUAUCAAAGUAGCGAACGUGAAUCAAAUAAACAUGAUGAAAGUGACUAGAUGAAAUUCCCAUGUGUCCUCGAGAACGCUUUGCUUACUAUAAAAGAACGUUUCUGCCUGUCCUUUUCUAUAAAAAGGAUUGGGCUACCUUGCUGCACCUUUGUUACUACUUCUACUUGUCACUUGUUAUGAAUUAUCUUGCUACAAAACUAUCUAUCACUGUUACCUUUAAUACUUGAAAAAAAUACCUUGCUGAAAACCGCUUCUCAUUUCCUUCUGCUCCUCGUUAGGUUCGACACUCUUACUUGUCUAAAGGACUAUGAUUGAUCCCCUAUACUUGUGGGUCAUCAACGUGCAUUGAUGUCUACUACACAACUUUACUUAUUGUAGACUCUGUUGGGCCUCCAAGCGCAGAGUUUUGUAGGACUGUAGAAAAUUUCCCUCAAGUGGAUGACCUAAGGUUUAUCAAUCCGUAGGAGGCGUAGGAUGAAGAUGGUCUCUCUCAAACAACCCUGCAAUCAAAUACAAGAAAUCUCUUAUGUCCCCAACACACCCAACACAAUGGCAAAUUGUAUGGGUGCACUAGUUUGGCGAAGAGAUGAUGAUACAAGUGUAAUAUGGAUAGUAGAUAUAGGUUUUUGUAAUCCUUCUCAUAAUAAGAAUGUGCACGGUCUGGUUCGGUAUGGCUGAAAAUAUAAAAACAACAAGGUAGCAAGUGAUAAAACGGAACACAAACGGUAUUGCAAUGCGUAAAAACAAGGCCUAGGGUUCAUACUUUCACUAGUGCAAUCUCUCAACAGUGCUAACAUAAUUGAAUCAUAUAACAACUCCUCAGCGUGUGACAGAGAGUCACUCCAAAGUUCUUAUCUAACGGAGAGAACAUAAGAUGAAAUUGUUUUAGGGUACGAAACCACCUCAAAGUUAUCUUUUCUGAUCAAUCUAUCGAGCCAUCCCUAUAAGAGCCACAAACAACCCUAGAGUUCGUACUAAAAUAACACCAUAUGAUACACAUCAACCAACUCUAAUGUCACCUAGAUACUCCAAUGUCACCACAAGUAUCCAUGAGUUGAUUAUACGAUAUGCAUCAAACAACUUCAGAUUUAUAAUAUUCAAUCCAACACAAAGAACUUCAAAGAGUGUCCCAAGAUUUCUACCGGAGAAAGUAGGACGAAAACGUGCAUCAACCCCUAUGCAUAGCUAGAUUACCCCUGAAGGAAAUAUGCCCUAGAGGCAAUAAUAAAGUUAUUAUUUAUUUCCUUAUUUCAUGAUAAAUGUUUAUUAUUCAUGCUAGAAUUGUAUUAACCGGAAACAUAAUACAUGUGUGAAUACAUAGACAAACAAAGUGUCACUAGUAUGCCUCUACUUGACUAGCUCGUUAAUCAAAGAUGGUUAAGUUUCCUAGCCAUUGACAUGAGUUGUCAUUUGAUUAACGGGAUCACAUCAUUAGGAGAAUGAUGUGAUUGACUUGACCCAUUCCGUUAGCUUAGCACUCGAUCGUUUAGUAUGUUGCUAUUGCUUUCUUCAUGACUUAUACAUGUUCCUAUGACUAUGAGAUUAUGCAACUCCCGUUUACCGGAGGAACACUUUGUGUGCUACCAAACGUCACAACGUAACUGGGUGAUUAUAAAGGUGCUCUACAGGUGUCUCCAAAGGUACUUGUUGGGUUGGCGUAUUUCGAGAUUAGGAUUUGUCACUCCGAUUGUCGGAGAGGUAUCUCUGGGCCCACUCGGUAAUGCACGUCACUAUAAGCCUUGCAAGCAUUGCAACUAAUGAGUUAGUUGCGGGACGAUGUAUUACGGAACGAGUAAAGAGACUUGUCGGUAACGAGAUUGAACUAGGUAUUGAGAUACCUACGAUCGAAUCUCGGGCAAGUAAACAUACCGAUGACAAAGGGAACAACGUAUGUUGUUAUGCGGUCUGACCGAUAAAGAUCUUCGUAGAAUAUGUAGGAGCCAAUAUGGGCAUCCAGGUCCCGCUACUGGUUAUUGACAAGAGAGGUGUCUCGGUCAUGUCUACAUAGUUCUCGAACCCGUAGGGUCCGCACACUUAACGUUCGUUGACGAUAUAGUACUAUGAGUUAUGUAUGUUGGUGACCGAAUGUUGUUCGGAGUUUUGGAUGAGAUCACGGAUAUGACGAGGAACUCCGGAAUGGUCCGAAAGUAAAGAUUGAUAUGUGGAUAGUAGUGUUUGAUCUCCGGAAAGGUUCCGGAAUCCAUCGGAAGGGGUUCCGGAUGUUUUCCGAAAUGUUUGGGCACGAGAACACUUUAUCUCGGCCAAAGGGGAAAGCCCACGAGGUUUUUGGAAAGCGCAAAAGGAAGUUUUGCGGAGUCCAGGGGCCAGACGCCAGGGUCCCUGGCGUCUGGGUCCAGACGCCGGGAACCCUGGCGUCUGGCCUUGGAGUCCGAGAAGGACUCUUGCCUUUCAGGUGAAACCGACUUUGUGGAGGCUUUUACUCCAAGUUUCGACCCCAAGGCUCAACAUAUAAAUAGAGGGGUAGGGCUAACACCCAAGACAGAUCAAGAAACACCAAGCCAUGUGCCGGCAACCCCGUCUCCUCUAGUUUAUCCUCCGUCAUAGUUUUCGUAGUGCUUAGGCGAAGCCCUGCGAAGCUUGUUCUUCACCAACACCGUCACCACGCCGUCGUGCUGCCGGAACUCAUCUACUACUUUGCCCCUCUUGCUGGAUCGAGAAGGCGAGGACGUCACCGAGCCGAACGUGUGCAGAACUCGGAGGUGUCGUGCUUUCGGUACUUGGAUCGGUCGGAUCGUGAAGACGUACGACUACAUCAAGCGCGUUGAUAUAACGCUUCCGCUUACGGUCUACGAGGGUACGUAGACAACACUCUCCCCUCUUGUUGCUAUGCAUCACCAUGAUCUUGCGUGUGCAUAGGAAUUUUUUUGAAAUUACUACGUUCCCCAACAACCCCAAUGUCACCUCGGGAAUCCGCAAGUCGAGUGCCAAAACAUACAUCAAGUGAAUUGAUAACCCACAAGUAUAGGGGAUCGUUUGUAACCUUUUUUGAUAAAUAAGAGUGUCGAACCCAACGAGGAGCUAAAGGCAGAACAAAUAUUCCCUCAAGUUCUAUCGACCACCGAUAUAACUCUACGCACACUUAAUGUUUGCUUUACCUAGAACAAGAAUAAACCUAGAAGUACUUUGUAGGUGUGGAUAGGUUUGCAAGAUAAUAAAGAACGUGAAAAUAAAAGUUAGGUGUUGUUUAAAUAAGGAAACAAUUAAGUUUAGUAAAACGAGCGUGGAUUAGUGGUGGUAGGAUUUGCGGAAUUGUCCCUUAGCAAUAGACUACGUUGCUAGACCUAUAGCAAGUUUUUAUGUGGGAGAGGCCACUUCUAGCAUGUCGUCCCUUACUUGGAAUUCUAUGCACUUAUGAUUGGAACUAUUAGCAAGCAUCCGCAACUAAUAAUGUUCACUAAGGUAAAACCCAACCAUAGCAUUAAGAUAUAUAUUGGUCCCCCUUAAAUCCCGUACGUAUCAAUUUCUAUGUUUAGGGUGAAGUUGUUGUCACCCUUGCCCUCCAAUGCAUAGUCCUAUCAACAUACUACUAACCCUAUGGUGUGAUCCACACACGCGCUCAUACGAUGGGCACCAAAGGAUAGCAACAUAACCGCAAGCAAAUUAAACCAACCAUAGCAAUUCAGCAAUUACCGAUAGGACAACAAAAAUAUACUCGGACAUCAUAGGAUGGCAACAUAACAUUGGAUGAUAGUAUGAAGCAUAAAGCACCAUGUUCAAGUAGAGGGUACAACGGGUUGCAGGAGAGUGGACCGCUGAAUAUAGAAGGGGGAAGGUGAUGAGGAUGUUGGUGAAGAUGACGGAGUUGCUGGAGUAGAUCGCCAUCACACGAUGAUUGCCUCGGUGGCGUUCCGGCGCCACCGGGAGAGAGCCCCCCUCCUUUUUCUUCUUCCUUGGCCUCCCCCUAGAUGGAGGAGAGUUCCCCCUCUGGUCCAUGGCCUCCAUCGCGGCGAAGGGGCGGGAGCCCCUCCAAGAUUGGAUCUCCCUCUCUGUUCUCUUCUAUUUCACGCUCCUGGUUUCUGGCCGAAAACCAUUUCUUAUAUUCCCGGAGAUCCAUAACUCCGAUUGUGCUGAGAUUUUAACACGAUUUUUUCCCGGAUAUAAGCUUCCUUGCGCCCGAAGUAGAGCUCCAACCGACUUACGAAGAGGGCACAACCCACCAUCAUGCGUCUGGGCUACCUGGCGCGCCCAGGUGUCUUGUGGUGGCUGUGGGGCCCGUUUGCGAGGAUUCCACCUCCCAAAAACCACAAAUAUUCCAAAAUAAUUCUCCAUAGAUUUUUAUCGCGUUUGGACUUCGUUUGAUAUGAAUAUUCUGCGAAACAAAAAACAUGCAACAAACAGGAACUGGCACUGGGCACUGGAUCAAUAGGUUAGUCCAAUAAAUCAUAUAAAAUGUUGUCAAAAGUAUGUGAAAGUUGUAUAAUAUUGGCAUGAAACAAUCAAAAAUUAUAGAUACGACGAAGAUGUAUCAACAUCCCCAAGCUUAAUUCCUGCUCGUCCUCGAGUAGGUAAAUGAUAAAAAGAUAAUUUUUGAUGUGGAAUGCUACCUAGCAUAAUCUUGAUCCUAUAUUUAAUCAUGGCAUGAAUAUUAAGACAAGAGUGAAUCAAAGCAAUAGUCUAUAAUUUGACAUAAAGACAACAAUACUCAGGAAUCCCAACAAACAAUUGUGUCUUUCAAAAUAUCAACCCUAAAGAAAGCUAUCCCUACAAAAUCAUAUAGUAUUGUCAUGCUCUGUCUUCUUAACACAAAGUAUUUAUCAUGCACAACCCCGAUGACAAGCCGAGCAAUUGGUUCAUACUUUUUAACGCGCUUCAACUUUUUCAACCCUCACACAAUACAUGAGCGCAAGCCAUGGAUAUAGCACUAUGGGUGGAAUAGAAUAUGAUGAUAGGGGUAAAUAUAGAGAAGACAAAAAGUAAGAAAGUCUCACAUCGACGUGGCUGACCAACGAGCUAUAGAGAUGCCCAUCAAUUGAUACCAAUGCGAGGAGUAGGGAUUGCCAUGCAACGAAUGCACUAAGAGCUAUAACUGUAUGCAAGCUCAAUAUGAAAACUAAGUGGGUGUGCAUUGAUGCGGCUUGAACUACGUCGGUAUUUCCCCAAAGAGGAAGGGAUGAUGCAGCACAACUACGGUAGGUAUUUCCCUCAGUGAUGAGACCAUGGUUAUCGAACUAGCAGGAGAAUCACGCAACACUAUGUAAACGGUACAUGCACACAAAGAAAAAAUACUUGCAACCCCACGUGUAAGAGGGGUUGUCAAUCCCUCCCGGGUAAAAAGAUAGAUUGGUUUGUAGUAGAUUGGAUAAAUAGAUCUCGCAGAAACGCAAAAUAAAAUAAAUAACAAAAAAUUGCAGCAAGAUAUUUUUGGGUUUUUGGAUUAAUAGAUCUGAAAAUAAAAGCGAAUAAAAAUAGAUCUCGAAGCAAAUAUGAUAAAGAAUAGACCCGGGGGCCGUAGAUUUCAGUAGUGUCUUCUCUCGAGAAAAAUAGCAUACGAUGGGUAAACAAAUUACUAUUGGGCAAUUGAUAGAACUUCAAAUAAUCAUGGCGAUAUCCAGGCAAUGAUCAUUAUAUAGGCAUCACGUAGAUUAGUAGACUGACUCCUGCGUGCAUCUACUACUAUUACUCCACACAUCGACCGCUAUCCAGCAUGCAUCUAGUGUAUUAAGUUCAUGGAAAAAUGUAGUAAUCCAAUAAGAAUGAUGGCAUGAUGUAGACAAGAUCUGUUCAUGUAGGAAUAGACCCCAUCUUGUUAUCCUUAAUAGCAACGAUACAUACGUGUCAUGUCCCCUUCUGUCACUGGGAUUGAGCACCGUAAGAUCGAACCCAUCACAAAGCACCUCUUCCCAUGGCAAGAAAAAUCGAUCUAGUUGGCCUAACUAAACCAAAGAUUCGAAGAAUAAAUACAAGGCUAUAAGCAAUCAUGCAUAUAAGAGAUCGAAACUCAAAUAACUUUCAUGGAUAAAAUAAAUCCAAUCAUAAACUCAAAGUUCAUCGGAUCCCAACAAACACACCGCAAAAAGAGUUACAUCAAAUAGAUCUCCAAGAGACCAUUGUAUUGAGAAUCAAAAGAGAGAGAGAGAGGAAGCCAUCUAGCUACUAACUAUGGAGCCGAAGGUCUACAAUGAACUACUCAUGCAUCAUUGGAGAGGCACCAAUGAGGAUGAUGAACCCCUCUAUGAUGGUGUCUAGAUUGGAUCUGGUGUUUCUGGAACUUGCGGUGGCUUGAAUUGUGUUUUGUCGACUCCCCUAGGGUUUUUGGAUUUUCGGGGUAUUUAUAGAGCAAAGAGGCGGUGCGGGAGGCGGCCGAGGUGGGCACGACCAACCAGGGCGCGCCCACGUGGGUUGUGCUCCCCUCGGAGAACCCCUCUGGUACUUCUUUGGCCCAACAGGUGUCUUCUAGUCCAGAAAAAAUCUCCAAAAAGUUUCGCUGCGUUUGGACUUCGUUUGGUAUUGAUUUUCUGUGAAGUAAAAGACAAGCAAAAAACAGCAGCUGGCACUGGGCAUUAUGUCAAUAGGUUAGUCCCAAAAAAUUAUAUAAAGUUGCUAUAAAAUGAUUGUAAAACAUCCAAGAAUGAUCAUAUAACAGCAUGGAACAAUAACAAAUUAUAGAUACCUUGGAGACAUAUUAGCAUCCCCAAGCUUAAUUCCUGCUCGUCCUCGAGUAGGUAAAUGAUAAAAACAGAAUUUUUGAUGUGGAAUGCUGCCUAUCAUGUUCAUCACAUAUUCUUUUCUUUUGUAGCAUGGACAUUUGGACUUUUAUAUGAUUCAAAGCAAUAGUCUAGUUUUAACAUGAAGAUUUCCAUACUCAAACAUAUCAACAAGCAACCAUGUCUUUCAAAAUAUCAACACUGAAGCAAGUUAUCCCUAGCCCAUUAUGAAGGGGAACGUAGUAAUUUCAAAAAAAUUCCUGCGCACACACAUGAUCAUGGUGAUGCAUAGAACCGAGAGGGGAGAGUGUUGUCCACGUACUCUCGUAGACCGAAAGCGGAAGCGUUAGCACAACGCGGUUGAUGUAGUCGUACGUCUUCACGAUCCGACCGAUCAAGUACCGAACGCACGACACCUCCGAGUUCAGCACAUGUUUAGCCCGAUGACGUCCCUCGAACUCCGAUCCAGCCGAGUGUUGAGGGAGAGUUUCGUCAGCACGACGGCGUGGUGACGAUGAUGAUGUUCUACCGACGCAGGGCUUCGCCUAAGCACCGCUACAGUAUUAUCGAGGUGGACUAUGGUGGAGGGGGGCACCGCACACGGCUAAAAGAUCAAACGAUCAAUUGUUGUGUCUCUAGGGUGCCCCCUGCCCCCGUAUAUAAAGGAGCAAGGGGGAGGUGCGGCCGGCCAGGAGGGGGCACGCCAGGAGGAGUCCUACUCCCACCGGGAGUAGGACUCCCUCCCUUUUCCUUGUUGGACUAGGAGAAGAGGGGGAAAGAGGUGGAGGAGAAGAAGGAAGGGGGGGCGCCCCCCUCUCCUUGUCCUAUUCGGACUAGGGGGGAGGGGCGCGCGGCCCUUGCCCUGGCCGCCUCUCCUCUUCUUCACUAAGGCCCACUAUGGCCCAUUAACCCCCGGGGGGUUCCGGUAACCCCUCCGGUACUCCGGUAAAAUCCCGUUUUCACCCGGAACACUUCCGAUAUCCAAAUAUAGGCUUCCAAUGUAUCAAUCUUCAUGUCUCGACCAUUUCGAGACUCCUCGUCAUGUCCAUGAUCACAUCUGGGACUCCGAACAACCUUCGGUACAUCAAAACAUAUAAACUCAUAAUAUAACUGUCAUCGAAACUUUAAGCGUGCGGACCAUACGGGUUCGAGAACUAUGUAGACAUGACCGAGACACGUCUCCGGUCAAUAACCAAUAGCGGAACCUGGAUGCUCAUAUUGGCUCCCACAUAUUCUACGAAGAUCUUUAUCGGUCUGACCGCAUAACAACAUACGUUGUUCCCUUUGUCAUCGGUAUGUUACUUGCCCGAGAUUCGAUCGUCGGUAUCUCAAUACCUAGUUCAAUCUCGUUACCGGCAAGUCUCUUUACUCGUUCCGUAAUACAUCAUCCCGCAACUAACUCAUUAGUUGCAAUGCUUGCAAGGCUUAAGUGAUGUGCAUUACCGAGUGGGCCCAGAGAUACCUCUCCGACAAUUGGAGUGACAAAUCCUAAUCUCGAAAUACGCCAACCCAACAAGUACCUUCGGAGACACCUGUAGAGCACCUUUAUAAUCACCCAGUUAUGUUGCAUACAAAGUGUUCCUCCGGUAAACGGGAGUUGCAUAAUCUCAUAGUCAUAGGAACAUGUAUAAGUCAUGAAGAAAGCAAUAGCAACACACUAAACGAUCGAGUGCUAAGCUAACGGAAUGGGUCAAGUCAAUCACAUCAUUCUCCUAAUGAUGUGAUCCCGUUAAUCAAAUGACAACCCAUGUCAAUGGCUAGGAAACUUAACCAUCUUUGAUCAACAAGCUAGUCAAGUAGAGGCAUACUAGUGACACUCUGUUUGCCUAUAUAUUCACACAUGUAUUAUGUUUCUGGUCAAUACAAUUCUAGCAUGAAUAAUAAACAUUUAUCAUGAUAUAAGGAAAUAAAUAAUAACUUUAUUAUUGCCUCUAGGGCAUAUUUCCUUCACAUUAUGCUCAAUCAUUGAUCCAUUUAUGAAACACACUCGCAUAUUAGCUACACCCAAUGCUCAAGUACGAUCAUAGUGCCCCUUAGUUGGUGCCUUGUAAGAGAAGAUGGAGACUAAAAAAUAAAAAAUAAAAAUUGCAUAAAGUAAAUAGAAAGGCCGUUCGCAGAGGGAAGUAGGGAUUUGUAGAGGUGCCACAGCUUAAAGCGGAAAAAGAUAGAGAUAAAACAUUUUGGGUGGCAUGCUUUUCCUGUCAACGAAAACGAUCGAGGAUUUCCCAAUACUUUACAUGCUAGAUAUAUCAUAGGCGGUUCCCAAACAGAAAAUAAAGUUUAUUCCUUUUUCCACCAUACUUUCACAUUCCACGGCUAACCGUAUCCACGGGUGUCGUCCAUACCAACACUUUCCAAGGAAUUUAUUACUAUUUGACAACAUAAAGUAAAUUCGUUUUUCAUUUCGGGACUGGGCAUCCCUAAUACCUUUGCCAUACUCUCGUGCAAUGACAAGUGAAUAAACACUCAUCCUGAGAAUAACACAUCUAGCAUGGAAAAAUAUCAGCCACCCCCUACCAUUUCAUGAGCGGUACGAGCACACAAAAAGGAACUUUAUUUUGAAGAUUAGAGAUGGCACAUACAAAUUUGCUUAGAACGGCAAAAGAAUACCGCAAAUAGGUAGGUAUAGUGGACUCAUAUGGCAAAAACUAGGUUUAAGGAUUUUGGGUGUACAAGUAGUAAUCCCACUUAAUUAGUACAAGUGAAGGCUAGUAAAAGAUUGAGAAUCAUCCAACAAAGAAACGAAAAAUAUCAUAAGCGAGCAUUAAGCAUAACUAACACCAAAUAAUGCACCACAAGUAGGAUGUAAUUUCAUUGCAUAACUAUUGACUUUCGUGCUUGCAUAGGGAAUCACAAACCUUAACAUCAAUAUUCUUACUAAAGCAUAAUUACUCAUCAACAUGACUCACAUAUUAUCAUACCAAAAAACUAUUACAAAGAAUCAAGUUUAUUUUGUCCAAUGAUCUUCAUGAAAGUUUUUAUUACAUCCCUCUUGAAUAUCUAUCACUUUGGGACUAAUUUCAUAUGUUGCUUUUGAUAGCUCAAACAAAUCUAAGUGAAGAACAUGAGCAUAACAAUUUUCUUCUCUAAAAAUAAUUUAAGUGAAGCAUGAGAGAAUUUCUUCAAAAUUUACUAACUCUCAAAUAGCUCUAAGUGAAGCAUGAGCAUUUCUUCAAAAAAAUUAAAGCACACCGUGCUCAAAAAGAUAUAAGUGAAGCACUAGAGCAAUUCCAUAGCUCAAAAAAUUUAAGUGAAGCAUAAAGAGCGAUUCUAAUGAAUCAUAGCAUAAUUCUGGCUCUCUCAAAUAGGUGUGUCCAACAAGGAUUGAUGACACGAACUAAAAAGCAAAACAAGCAAAGACUCGUAUGAUACAAGACGCUCCAAGCAAAACUCAUGAAAUGUGACGAAUAAAAAUAUAGCUCCAAGUAAAAUAUCGAUGCUCGUUAGAAGAAAGAGGGGAUGCCACUCGGGGGCAUCCCCAAGCUUAGUUGCUUGUUCCUCUUUGGAUAAUAACUUGGGGUGUCAUGGGCAUCUCCAAGCUUCGGCUCUUCUUACUCCUUAUUCCUUCAUCCAUCGUGAUCUCACCCAAAACUUGAAAACUUCAAUCACACAAAACUUAACAAAACCUUCGUGAGAUCCGUUAGUAUAACAAAACAAAUCACUACUCUAAGUACUGUUGCAAACCCAUUCAUAUUUUAUUUUUGCAUUAUAUCUACUGUAUUCCAACUUUACUAUGGCUUGUACCCUCCAAUACAAACCAUAGAUUUAUCAAAAUAAGCACACAACGCAAAGAAAACAGAAUCUGUUAAAAACAGAACAGUCUGUAGCAAUCUGAAAACUUCGUAUACUUCUGUAACUCCUAAAAUUCUAAAUUAGGACAACGUAGGCAAUUUGUAUAUCAAUCUUGUGUAAAAAAAUCAGAAUUUUAUCACGAUUCUGUGAUUUUUAAUAAUUCUGUGACUGGCGCACAAAGUUUCUGUUUUUCAAUAAGAUCAAAUCAACUAUCACCCAACAUGAUCCCAAAGGAUUUGCUUGGCACAAACACUAAUUAAAACAUAAAAACACAAUCAAAACAGUAGUAUAAUUGUGCAAACACUCAAGAACAGAAAGAAAAAAGACAAAAAUAAAUUUUAUUCAUUGGGUUGCCUCCCAACAAGCGCUAUCAUUUUAUGCCCCUAGCUAGGCAUAAUGCAUAUAUCUAAGUGUUGUCAUCUUUAGUUUCAUUUACCUCAGAGGUGUUUUUGUCAGGAGGUUUUGCAAAAACAACGUAGAAUAGAUUAUCCAUAGAAACUUUAGCACUAUCAAGUUGCUUAUCAUCAUAUCCCCUUUGAUUUCUGGCAACAAUCCAAGAAUAGUGUUGAUUAACAUCACUGAAAACUUGUUGGAUUAUAUCUAAAACAGGGAUUUCCUUUUUAAGAUUCUUAUCAAAGAUUCGAUUAUCCCCAAGCAAAUGUCUUAGCACAUAAUCACUAUUAUAAAGAAUCUCAUCUAUCACCGGUUUUUCACAAUUCAUACCAUAGAAAUCAAAAAUUUCCCUAGUUUCUCGUAUUAUGUAAUCAAAUUCAUUCAUAAGAACAAGGGUGGCCAACUUUUUAGCUUUGGGAUUCUUUAUAACGGGUAGCUCAUAAAACAAUCUUCGCAAGGUAGGAUGGGUACGGGUAAAUUUAUUUUCAAGUUUCAAUACUAGUGCUGAAAUAGCUUCUACAUAAUAUUUAGUCCUUUUAAGUAUAGGAGCAUCGUCAAGACUUAAAUUUCCAACACAAUUGAAAAAAUCUUGGAUAUGUUCUUUUCCCAUAACAUUCCCUUGCCCCAAAACAAAAGUUUUAGCAUCCAGAUUGCCAGAUCGUCCAAUUUUAGGAGUUAGGCCAUCAUUUGUUUCUGCCAUACCAAAGUCACUCAUGAUGACAAGUUCAAGCAAAUAAGAGAUCCAACGAGAAACGCCGAACGAAAAAGAGGGCGAAUAAAACGACAAAUUUUUGUGAAGUGGGGGAGAUGAAAAUGAAAGGCAAAUGGAAAAUAAUGCAAAUUGCAAGGAGAUGAGAUUUGUGAUUAGGAACCUGAUAGAUGUUGAUGAUGUCUCCCUGGCAACGACACCAGAAAUUCCUUUUGAUGCGGCUUGAACUACGUGGGUAUUUCCCCAAAGAGGAAGGGAUGAUGCAACACAUCUACGGUAGGUAUUUCCCUCAGUGAUGAGACCAAGGUUAUCGAACCAGUAGGAGAACUACGCAACACUAUGUAAACGGUACAUGCAAACAAAGAACAAAUACUUGUAACCCAACGCGUAAGGGGGGUUGUCAAUCCCUCCCGGGUAAAAAGAUAGAUUGGUUUGUAGUAGAUUGGAUAAAUUGAUCUCGCGGAAACGCAAAAUAAAAUAAAUAACAAAAAAUUGCAGCAAGGUAUGUUUGGGUUUUUGGAUUAAUAGAUCUGAAAGUAAAAGCGAAUAAAAAUAUAUCUUGAAGCAAAUAUGAUAAAGAAUAGACCCGGGGGCCGUAGAUUUCACUAGUGGCUUCUCUCAAGAAAAAUAGCAUACGGCGGGUAAACAAAUUAAUGUUGGGAAAUUGAUAGAACUUCAAAUAAUCAUGACGAUAUCCAGGCAGUGAUCAUUAUAUAGGCAUCACGUCCAAGAUUAGUAGACCGACUCCUGCCUGCAUCUACUACUAUUACUCCACACAUCGACCGCUAUCCAGCAUGCAUCUAGUGUAUUAAUUUCAUGGGCAAAACGGAGUACUGCAAUAAGAACGAUGACAUGAUGUAGACAAGAUCUUUUCAUGUAGGAAUAGACCUCAUCUUGUUAUCCUUAAUAGCAAUGAUACAUACGUGUCAUGUCCCCUUCUGUCACUAGGAUUGAGCACCGUAAGAUUGAACCCAUCACAAAGCACUUCUUCCCAUGGCAAGAAAAAUCAAUCUAGUUGGCCUAACUAAACCAAAGAUUCAAAGAAGAAAUACGAGGCUAUAAGAGAUCGAAACUCAAAUAACUUUCAGGGAUAAAAUAAAUCUAAUCAUAAACUCAAAGUUCAUCGGAUCCCAACAAACACACAGCAAAAAGAGUUACAUCAAAUAGAUCUCCAAGAGACCAUUGUAUUGAGAAUCAAAAGAGAGAGGGGAAGCCAUCUAGCUACUAACUAAGAACCCGAAGGUCUACAAUGAACUACUCACACAUCAUCGGAGUGCACCAAUGAUGAUGAUGAACCCCUCCGUUUCUGGAACUUGAGGCGGAUGGAAUUGUGUUUCGUCGACUCCCCUAGGGUUUCUGGAUUUUCAGGGUAUUUAUAGAGCAAAGAGGCGGUGCGGGAGGCGGCCGAGGUGGGCACAACCCACCAGGGCGCGCCUGGGCCCUCAGGCGCACCCAAGUGGGUUGUGCUCCCCUUGGAUCCCCCCUCUGGUAUUUCUUUGGCCCAACAGGUGUCUUCUGGUCUAGAAAAAAACUCCAAAAAGUUUCGCUGCGUUUGGACUCCGUUUGGUAUUAAUUUUCUACAAAGUAAAAAAUAAGCAAAAAACAACAACUGGCACUGGGCACUAUGUCAAUAGGUUAUUCCCAAAAAAUGAUAUAAAGUUGCUAUAAAAUGAUUGUAAAACAUCCAAGAAUGAUCAUAUAACAGUAUGGAACAAUAAAAAAUUAUAGAUACGUUGGAGACGUAUCAUGCAUCUAACUCUAUAAUGAAAAAUUCCCACUAGUAUAUGAGAGUGACAACAUAGGAGACUCUCUAUAUGAAAAACAUGGUGCUACUUUGAAGCACAAGUGUGGAAUUGGCAUGCCCCUUCUCUCUUCUAUCUCAAUUUUUUCUUUCUUUCUCUUUUUUUCUUUUCUUGGGCUCUUUUUGGCCUCAAUUUUUUUUCAUUUUUUUCAUUUUUUAAUAUUUGUCCGGAGCCUCAUCCUGACUCGUGGGGGAAUCAUAGUCUACAUUAUCCUUUACUCACUGGGACAUGCUCUAAUAGUGAAUAACGAUGAUCAUCACACUUAUAUUUACUUACAACUCAAAAGAAAUAAAAAGUACAACUCGAUACCUAGAACAAAGUAUGACUCUAUAUGAAUGCCUCUCGCAGUGUACCAAGAUGUGAAAUGAUCUAGCAUAACAACUAUAUCAAAAAAUGGACAAAACCAUGGCAAUAUCAUGCUAGCUAUCUUACGAUCAUGCAAAGCAAUAUGACGAUGAAUGCUCAAGUCAUCAAAAUGGAAGCAGUAGAAGUUGCAUGGCAAUAUAUCUCGGAAUGGCUAUGGAAAUGCCAUAAUAGGUAGGUAUGGUGGCUGUUUUCAGGAAGAUAUAACAAGGGUUAUGUGUGAUAGAGCGUAUCAUAUCACGGGGUUUGGAUGCGCCGACGAAGUUUGCACCGACUCUCGAGGUGAGAAAGGGCAAUGCAUGGUACCGUAGACGCUAGCAAACUGCGGAAAGGUAAGAGUAUGUAUAAUCCAUGGACUCACAUUAGUCAUAAAGAACUCAUAUACUUAUUGCAAAAGUUUAUUAGCCCUCGAAGCAAAGUACUAUUAUGCAUGCCCCUGGGGGAUAGAUUGGUAGGAAAAGACCAUCGCUCAUCCCCGACCGCCACGCAGAAGGAAGACAAUCAAUAACAAAUCAUGCUCCAACUUCUUAGCAUAAGGAGAGACUAUACGUGCAUGCUUCGGGAAUCAUGAACCUUAACACCAAUAUUCCUACUAACCACAACCGUUUACUAGUACCUCCCACAUAUUAUCAUGUCUAUGUCGCAAAACUAUUGCAAGGAAUCAAACCUAUCAUAUUCAGUUAUCCACAAGUUUUAUGUAGGACUUCAUGACUAACCAUGCAAAUGACCAAUUCUUCUUGACUCUCUAAACAGAUAUAAGUGAAGCAUGAGAGUUUAAUUCUUUCUAAGAAAAACCAGGCUCUAAUAAAUACAAGUGAAGCAAAAGAGCUCUACAAAUAACGGUUUUCUAUGUGAAGAGAAACAGGCAAUCCAAACUUCAAAUGAUAUAAGUGAAGCACAUGAAGCAUUCUAUAAAGCCACACUCAAAAUAUAUAAGGGAAGUGCAAUGAGCAUUCUAUAAAUCAACCAUGGACUAUUUCAUACCAGCAUGGUGCAUAAAUAAAAAUGAAAAUAAACACAAAAGACGCUUCAAGAUUUAGACAUAUCACAUGAACGAAAGGAAAACGAAAACAUACCGAUACUUGUUGAAGAAAGAUGGGAUGCCUUCCGGGGCAUCCCCAAGCUUAGAUGCUUGGGUCUCCUUGAAUAUUUACUUAGGGUGCCUUGCGCAUCCCCAAGCUUGAACUCUUGCCUCUCCUCCUUCUCCUCAUAUCGAUAUCUCCUCAAUCUUUGAACACUUCAUCCACACAAAACUUAACACAAAACUGGCGAGAUCUGUUAGUAUAAUAAUACAAAUAACUACUUUAAGUACUGUUGCAAACCAAUUCAUAUUUUUUUGCAUUAUAGCUAUUGUAUUAUAACUUCUCCAUGUCUUAGACCACUGAUAAAAUCAACAGAUUCAUCAAAAACAUAAUCUGUCUUAAACAUGACAAUCUGUAGUAAUCUGGACAUUAACCAUACUUCUAUAACUCCAAAAAUUCUUAAAAAUUAGGAAAAAAUAAACAAUUUGUAUAGCAAGAUUGUGUAGAAAUUCCAGAAACUUUUGACGUUCCAGUAAAAAAAUGUAAAAUCACACACUACAACCAAAGUUUCUGUUUUUACACUGCACAUACCAACAAGUAAUCUAAUCAUCCUAAAGGCAAAUCUUGGCACAUAAUUUUUAUAAUACAAUGGAUUUGUACAUGGGGAUAAUUAUUUUUGUUGAAAAGUUUCUGUAAUUCAAGAUUCACAAAGUUUCCAUGGGCAUAAACAAAGUUCAAGGCAUGCUCCCGCUUCCACGGUGUCCGUCUUUCUCACUUUCACUUUUCUUUUUGUGAAGUUUUAGAUUCCCCUCUACAUUUUUGUUUUGUUUUUAAACUAUAUAAAAUCACUCAAAAGAAUAAAAUGACUUCCUAAAACUUCCGGGUUGUCUCCCUAGCAGCGCUUUCUUUAAAGCCAUUAAGCUAGGCAUAAAGUGCUCAAGUAAUGGAUCCACCCAGAUCCCAAGGUAUAUCAAAGCCAAUUUUAAUAAACAAUUAUUUGACAUUUAGUAGUGAGCACAAAGCAACAUAAAAUCAUGCAAUGAUGAAAUCUAACUCUCUUCCUAUGCAUCGGCAUGUCAUAAAAGAACAAUUCAUGCACAUCAAGUAAAGGCCAACACAUAGCAUAAGCAGUUUCUUGCAAUUUUAUCGUGUUGGAAACAUAGAGAAGUGGAGAUAUAGUUCCUCUCUCAUAAUAAUGGCAAGUAGGAUCAUCAAGCACAUGCAUAUUAUAUUCAUCAAAUCAUCAUGUGCAACGGUAAAGGGCAACCCAUCAAUGUAAUCCUUAAUAAGUGCAAACUUCUCCGAUAUAGUGUAGUUUGGAGAAUUCAAAAAGAUAAUAGGACUAUCAUGCGUGGGUGCAAUGACAACAAUUUCAUUCUUAACAUAAGGAACUAUAGCAAGUUCAUAUCAAUAGGCAUAAUUCAUAUUGGCAUCUUGGCCACAAGCAUAGCAAGCAUCAAGUUCAUCAAAAAAGGGAUAUUUCAAAUGAAUCAACGGGAUCAUGGCAAUUAUCAUAGCAUUCAUCCUUUGGUAAGAACGAAGGGACAUUAAACAAUGUAUGAGUUGAAGAUUUAAUCCCAUAAGAAGGUGGGCACGAGUGAUCAAUCCGCUCUUCCUCCUUUUGUUCUUCGCUCUCCUCAUCAUCUUUUUCUUCCAAUGAGCUCACAGUUUCAUUAAUUCCUUCUUCCAUAGACUCCUGCAAAAUAUUAGUAUCUUCUUGGACAGCGAAGACUUUCUCAAUAAAUACAUCAAUAUCGGAAUUGUAUUUAUAAUUAUCAUAGAAAUAUUAAAGUAUAGCAAAAUUUUCAGGUCUAUCAACUGAAUAAUCAAAAUCUUCAUACUUCUCAAACAAAGAUUCAAUUUCAUAAGCACCCUUAAAAGCAACAAAUUCUUCUAUUCGUUCCACAUCAUAGUAAUCAUAUCUACCCUUAGCAUAAGAAGCUAAGGUUUCAUUUUGUUAAAUUUGCAUGAAAAGAGAAGGUGUGGAGCAUUCAUCCUAGAGCAACAAGUAAAAUCAUAUCUCUGGCAUAAAUUCCAAGCAUACCAAUACAACAUAUCAAUUUGAUCCCAUAACACUUUCCCUUUUUGUGUCAAGCGAUAAUCCCUAAAGUAUUCACGUUGAUCCAAUGUGUCUCCGAUUAUCAUGUUGAAUGGGGUUUCUCAGGAUUAUCAAAGUGGUGUUUAAUAUUUUUCACAUAACGAGCAACGAGGGUUUUAGGAGGUUUCCCAUAUCCAUGAGUAGCAAGUACAACUAUUUUUUUGGUAUUUCGUGUUCCAUAUCCAUAACUAAAGAUAGAUAACAACUUAGAACUGAAAAUAAAAACUACUUAGUGAUAAAGCAAACAAGCACACAUGAGAAUAUUCACCCUACGCUAUUGCUCCCUGGCAACGGCGCUAGAAAAGGUCUUGAUAACCCACAAGUAUAGGGGAUCUUUUGUAGCCUUUUUUGAUAAAUAAGAGUGUCGAACCCAACGAGGAGCUAAAGGAAGAACAAAUGUUCCCUCAAGUUCUAUCGACCACGAAUACAACUCUACGCACACUUAACGUUUGCUUUACCUAGAACAGGAACAAAACUAGAAGUACUUUGUAGGUGUGGAUAGGUUUACAAGAUAAUAAAGAACGUGAAAGUAGAAGUUAGGUUUUGUUUAAAUAAAGGAACAAUUAAGUUUGCUAAAACGAGUGUGGAUUAGUUGUGGUAGGAUUUGCGAAAUUGUCCCUUAGCAAUUGACUACGUUGCUAGACCGAUAGCAAGUUUUUAUGUGGGAGAGGCCACUGCUAGCAUGUUGUCCCUUACUUGGAAUUCUAUGCACUUAUGAUUGGAACUAUUAGCAUGCAUCCGCAACUACUAAUGUUCAUUAAGGUAAAACCUAUCCAUAGCAUUAAGAUAUAUAUUGGUCCCCUUUCAAUCCCGUAAGUAUCAAUUUCUAUGUUUAGGCUGAAGCUGCUGUCACCCUUGCCCUCCAAUGCAUAGUCCUAUCAACAUACUACUAACCCUAUGGUGUGAUCCACACACGCGCUCAUACGAUGGGCACCAAAGGAUAGCAACAUAACCGCAAGCAAAUUAAACCAACCAUAGCAAUUCAGCAAUUACCGAUAGGACAACAAAAAUAUACUCGGACAUCAUAGGAUGGCAACAUAACAUUGGAUGAUAGUAUGAAGCAUAAAGCACCAUGUUCAAGUAGAGGGUACAACGGGUUGCAGGAGAGUGGACCGCUGAAUAUAGAAGGGGGAAGGUGAUGAGGAUGUUGGUGAAGAUGACGGAGUUGCUGGAGUAGAUCGCCAUCACACGAUGAUUGCCUCGGUGGCGUUCCGGCGCCACCGGGAGAGAGCCCCCCUCCUUUUUCUUCUUCCUUGGCCUCCCCCUAGAUGGAGGAGAGUUCCCCCUCUGGUCCAUGGCCUCCAUCGCGGCGAAGGGGCGGGAGCCCCUCCAAGAUUGGAUCUCCCUCUCUGUUCUCUUCUAUUUCACGCUCCUAGUUUCUGGCCGAAAAUCGUUUCUUAUAUUCCCGGAGAUCCGUAACUCCGAUUGCGCUGAGAUUUUAACACGAUUUUUUUCCGGAUAUAAGCUUCCUUGCGCCCGAAGUAGAGCUCCAACCGACUUAUGAGGAGGGCACAACCCACCACCAUGCGCCUGGGCUGCCUGGCGCACCCAGGUGUCUUGUGGUGGCUGUGGGCCCCCUUUCUGAUGAUUCCACCUCCCCAAAAUCACAAAUAUUCCAAAAUAAUUCUCCGUAAAUUUUAUCGCGUUUGGACUUUGUUUGAUAUGGAUAUUCUGCGAAACAAAAAACAUGGAACAAAUAGGAACUGGCACUGGGCACUAGAUCAAUAGGUUAGUUUAAUAAAUCAUAUAAACUGUUGCCAAAAGUAUGUGAAAGUUGUAUAAUAUUGGCAUGAAAUAAUCAAAAAUUAUAUAUAAGACAGAACAUAUCAUGAAUCAAUAUAAUACCCCAUUGUCACCACACUUCUGCAUCCAAAACCCCUUAAACCCAGUUUCUUGCCAUGAGUGUCCACCAUACCUACAUAUGGAUUGAAUAAGAUCCUUCAAGUAAGUAGUCAUCGGUGCAUAAAGCAAUAAAAUUUGCUCCUAAAUAUGUUUGAUCUUUUAUUGUAAGGGAAAAUAAGUGUUGUACAAACUUGUGAUGGCAAAGUAAUAAAAGCGACGGGCUACAUAGUAAAGGUUGCUAUCAUAAGGGGCAGUAUAACUUGAUGUUCCUUUGCAUUCUGAGAUUGUGCAUCCAAAAAUAAAAAGCACAUGACAACCUCUGCUUCCCUCUGCGAAGGGCCUAUCUUUUACUUUUCAGUAUUUACUUUUAUGCAAGAGUCAAUAGUAUGCAUUCUCAUUUCAACCUCAAUUAUUCUCUAGCUGGCAAGCAUCAUGUGGUGGGGAAAGAUCUAGGCACAUAUGGCCAGUCAAAUAUAUUAUCAUGAUUUAUUAUUGUUGACAAUUAUCUCUAUGAUAAAUGAGUUGGGAGGUGAAACAUUAAGCCCCUAUCUUUAUCUGUGUUUGAUGGAUGCCAUUUGUUCUAAAAAUAUGCUUUGAGUACUCGCAAUCAUAGAAGACUAUAUGAUGAUAGAGUAUGUGGAGCUCUUACUUAGACUUUGUUGAAUAAGUUAAUUGCAAUUGCUUGGUGACUGAGAACAUAGGUUGUUAACUUUCAAGAGAAUACAUUGUUUGAAUCAUAACAUAUGAAUUGAUUGCUACUUUAUGAGAAAGAGUUGUUGUUAUGAUUCUAGGAUAAGUGAUUGAAAUUAUCAUUGAUCAAACUUAUGCACUAUGCUAGCAUUCACACUUUAUAAAAUAUUUCUUUUAUCAUUUACCUACUCGAGGACGAGCAGGAAUUAAGCUUGAGGAUGCUGAUAUGUCUCCAAUGUAUCUAUAAUUUAUGAAGUAUUCAUGCCAUGUUUACAACAAUUUUAUAUGGUUUUGGUAUGAUUUGAAUGGAACUAACCCGGACUGAAGCUGUUUCAGCAGAACUACCGUGGUGUUGUUUUUUGUGCAAAAAUAAAAGUUCUCCAAAUGCAGCAAAACUUUUUGAUGAUUUUUUUAACAAAAGAGACCCUCGAAGCUUUGUGGGAGGACCAGAAGAGCCACGAGGUGGCCACUACUCACCAGGGCGCGCCAACUGCCAUAGUGGUGGGCUGGUGGGUAGUGGGCACCUCGUGGCCCAUCUUCACAUGAAACUGACGCCAAUAAAUUCUAUAAAUAUAGAAACCACCAGAAAUAACCCUAGAUCAGAAGUUCCACCAUUGCAAGCCUCUCUGUAGCCACGAAAAACCUAUCUGGACCCUGUUCCGGCACCCUGCCGGAGGGGGAAAUCAUCACCGGAGGCCAUCUUCAUCAUCUCGGCAGCCACCAUGAUGAGGAGGGAGUAGUCCACCCUUGCGGCUGAGGGUUUGUACUAGUAGCUAUGUGUUUGAUCUCUCUCUCUCUCUCAUGUUCUUGAUUUGGCACGGUCUUCAUGUAUCGCGAGCUUUGUUAUUAUAGUAGGAUCAUAUGGUAUUUUCCCCUCUCUAUCUUGUUGUGAUGAAUUGAGUUCUACCUUUGAUAUUUCAUUAUUAUCGGAUUUAAUAUUUUUAUGGAUUGGAGAGCACUUGAUGUAUGUCUUGGCACUCAACUCACAAAUUCUCGAAGUGACAUUGGGGUAAUCUAUGCAUAGGGGGUGAUGCACAUUUUCAUCUUUGUUUCUCCGGUAGAAAUCUUGGGGCACUCUUUGAAGUUCUUUGUGUUGGAUUGAGUAUUAUGAAUCUGAAGUUGUUUGAUGCAUAUCGUAUAAUCAACUCAUGGAUACUCAUGGUGACAUUGGAGUAUCUAGGUGACAUUAGAGUUGGUUGAUGUGUAUCAUAUGGUGUUAUUUUAGUACGAGCUCUUGGGCUAUUUAUGACACUUAUAGGGAUAGCUCGAUAGAUCGAUCGAAAAGGAUAACUUUGAGGUGGUUUCGUACCCUACAAACAAUUGUGUCUUGUGUUCUCCGCUAGAUAAGAACUUUGGAGUUAUUCUUCAUCGCACGUUGAGGGAUGGUUAUAUCAUCCUAUUAUAUUAGCAUUGUUGAGAGAUUGCAAUAGUGAAAGUACGAAUCCUAGGCCUCAUUUUCAAGCAUUGCAAUACCAUUUGUGCUCACAUUUGUUACUUGCUACCUUGCCGUUUUGUUCCUAUUACAAAAAUUAAUAUCUACUAUCAUUACUACACUUGUAUCACCAUCUCUUCACCGAACUAGUGCACCUAUACAGAGUUGUAUUUGGUGUGUUGGGGACAGAAGAGAUUCUUUGUUAUUUGGUUGCAGAGUUGUUUGAGAGAGACCAUCUUCAUCCUACGCCUCCCACAGAUUGAUAAACCUUAGGUCAUCCACUUGAGGGAAAUUUGCUACUGUUCUACAAAACUCUAGGCUUGGAGGCCCAAUACGAGGCUACAAGAACAAGUUGUGUAGUAGAUAUCACUUGGGUCGAAGGCAAGGCACUGUCCGGAAGCGUAACAUGGUUCCCAAGGGGGAGGAAGGAUCAGAGGGACUACAUCCCUGGACAGCUCCACGGCAAGUGGGAGGAAUGGAGGGGAACCUAGUGCUGGAUCCAAGAGGAGAACUUCCUGGCAUUCUGCUUGCCGCGGAUAGAGAAUAUCAAUCAUGACGAUGAUUGGAAGAAGUACGACACGAACGAGAAGAAGCUCCGCCCGAUCCUAAACAGGAUUGCCCGACUGCGGGACGCUGGUCUGAACAUAGAGAUGGUCGGAGCUGACUUCCUGCGGCGCCGCAUCGCCCACUACAACAGUGAGACAGACCAACCUGGUUGUACCAGAAUGUCGGGGAUAAGAUGCAACUAUAUCCAUGCCGUGGCUGCAACUUGACGGUGCUGGGCCACUCCUGACUCUGCCAGCAGUUAUUCCUCAAGUUGGGCACUUUCCACUUGCCAGCCAUGAUCGUGCCGCUGCACAUCAACUCAGAGAGGAGUGUCAUCCUGGCAUGGAUGCCAGACAACUCUGUCGCAGGGGUCAAGGAAAGCUAGAAGCUACCCAAGCUGGCAGAUGAGGCAAAAUGGGCCUCCGAGCUAAAGGAGAAAGCCGAGCAAGAGGAGGACAACCUCGUCAAGGCACCACGGCAGAAGAAGCAGCAUACAUAGCCAACAGGGUUGCCGAGGCCCGGAGGCAGGCGACCGCCAAGGCCACAAGUGCCGAAAAUGUUGGUGAAGAAGAGGAAGGAAAUGAAGAGGAUGAUGAGGAGGACGAUGAAGAGCCUGCCGAAGAAGGGCAAGAGGGGCUUUCCGGGGAUGAGGUUGCCGGGUCAGAGGCGACUGGAAACCCCAAUGAGGAGGAAUUCCAGGUCUUGGAGCCACCGCGGCGUCUCCGCAGCAGGAGCAACCAAGAGCGCGCAGGUACUCCUCCGCCCCGAUCCGCUCCCGUGACGAGGAAGUCUACCACCAAGACCGGGAAGCAUGAGGUAAUACGCUGGCAGCCAGCACGGUAGGUCAAGCGCAAGCCUCCGUCUUCCCGGGAAGAACUCACCAGGGAGGAUGAGAUCUUGCUCCCGCCAAGCUCGCCGCCACCAGCUAUCAAGAGAGCCAGGGAGUCUCCGCCGUCGUCCCAGUACAAAAUGAGCAUCCUCCUUGAAUCUGAUGAUGAGUAAGCGAUUUUUUGCCUCUUUCUGUUAUGUCUCAAUUCAUCCCUUUUGUUGGUUUUGAUCUGGUAUUUCUAUUGUUUCGGGGAGGAAGAGCCGCUCAUCCAGCGGGCGAAGAGGGCCAAGCCAUUGGCGGGUCAUGGUUCGCCGUCAAGGGACAGGCAGGAAAUGACAAUGACUGAUACGAUAGUCACCAGCCCCCAGGCUAGCCCCCUUCUCCGGGACGGGACACCAUCUUAGACGGCUACCCCUGAUGCUGAGGAUCAUCCUUCCGCAGACGACAAGGAGAUGGGAGGGGAACACCAAGGCAAGGAGCACCAAGAAGUAGAUCCUACCAAGGGGGCCCCUUCAACUAUUAUCCCCGGGGAAACUUCUCUGGCAAGGGCCUCCACCGACGACUACGUUCACACCGGCAUCUCCCCGACGAGGGAGGACAUCGAGGGCCACGUGCCGGCAACGCAAGUUGCCAGGGGAGGGGAUGACCCUUCCCAACAAGUACAACCGGGUAACGUCUUGUUGCAGAGCCAUUUCCAUAAGAAUUUUCUUUGGUUUCCAUUUGUGAUUUGCACCACAUUCUUUCUUUCUUGUAUCUUGGUUUUCAGCCCCAACUUCUCCCGCGGGAGGUGACAAGCUCAUGGAGGUAGCCGUCAUUGCCAAAGCCGCUGCCGAAGAGGCCACCAAGAUUGCCGCCGUAGAAAAUCCUGAGCGUACUAACGGGAACAUCCAAGAGGCCCAUGCAGCGAUGGAGGAGGCCUCCGGCAACCAGUCCGAGCCCGCCAGGAUGGACGUAGAUGCGGCACACACCAUUGACCCAUCGCCAGUGUUUGUUGAGCAACCAGUGUCAGCGGCCCCGCCAAUCCCGCCAACCAGCACAGAGACGGUGACCUUUCAAGCCAAUCUUGGAGGCCCCAGCUCAUUUGUCACUACUGAACUAAACUUUGAAGAAGAAGUCGCUCGAAUCUUGCUUCCCUUGGCCCAACAGUCUACAGAUGCUGAAGACAUUGCCAAUGAGCAAGAGGACUAUGUGUUCUUGCAGGCCAUGGCCGCAGGGUUCAAGGACGCCCAAGACAGGUGAUACGUCUCCAACUUAUCUAUAAUUUAUGAAGUAUUCAUGUUGUUAUAUUAUCAUUCUUCGAUGUUUUACAAUCAUUUUGUAGCAACUUUAUAUCAUUUUUUGGGACUAACCUAUUAACCCAGUGCCCAUGCCAGUUGUUUUUUUGCUUGUUUUUUACAUUGCAGGAAAUCAAUAUCAAACGGAGUCCAAACACCGUGAAACUUUUUGUGGAUUUUUUAUGGACCAGAAGACAUCCAGUGGGCCGGAGAAGCACCUGGGGGGUGCCUCGAGGGGGGCACAGCCCGCCAGGGUGCGCCUGGGGCCCAGGCGGGCCCAGGUGGGUUGUGCCCAUCUCGGUGGCCUCCCGCACCCCCUCUUUACCCUAUAAAUUCCCAAAUAUUCCAAGAACCCUCGGGGUUAACCUAGAUCAGAAGUUCCGCCACCGCAGGCCUUUGUAGCCACCGAAAACCAAUCUAGACCCCGUUCCGACACCCUGUCGGAGGGGGGAAUCAUCACUGGUGGCCAUCUUCAUCAUCCCGGCCACCACGAUGAGGAGGGAGUAGUCCACCCUUGGGGCUGAGGGUUUGUACCAAUAGCUAUGUGUUUAAUCUCUCUCUCUCUCUCUCUCUCUCUCUCGUGUUCUUGAGAUGUCACGAUCUUGAUGUAUCGCGGGCUUUGUUAAUAUAGUUGGAUCAUAUGGUGUUUUCCCCUCUUUAUCUUGUUGUGAUGAAUUGAGUUUUCCCGGUGAGAUUUUGUUUUAUCGGAUUGAAUACUUUUAUGGAUUUGAGAGCACUUGAUAUAUGUCUUGCAUAUGAAUACUCAUGGUGACAAUGGGGUAUCAUAUUGAUUCACUUGAUAUGUGUUUUGGCACUCAACUCGCAGAUUUCCGAGGUGACAUUAGGGUAAUCUACGCAUAGGGGUUGAUGCACGUUCUUGUCUUUUGUUUCUCCGGUAGAAAUCUUGGGGCACUCUUUGAGGUUCUUGUGUUGGAUUGAGUAUUAUGAAUCUGAAAUUGCUGUGGUGUUAUUUUAGUACGAACUCUUGAUAGAUCGAUCGGAAAGAAUAACUUGGUGUUAUUUUAGUACGAACUCUAGAUAGAUCGAUCGGAAAGAAUAACUUGGUGUUAUUUUAGUACGAACUCUUGGAUAGAUCGAUCAAAAAUAAUAGCUACAAACAAUUCUUCUUAUGUUCUCCGCUAGAUAGGAACUUUGGAGUGAUUCUUCAUCACACUUUGAGGGAUGGUUAUGUGAUCCAAUUAUAUUAGCAUUGUUGGGAGAUUGAACUAGUGAAAUUACGGACCCUAGGCCUCAUUUUCAAGCAUUGCAAUAUCGUUUGUGCUUCAUUUUAUCAAUUGCUACCUUACUGUUUUUAUUGUUCCUAUUACAAAAAUCAAUAUCUACUAUCAUUACUACGCUUGUAUCACCAUCUCUUCGCCGAACUAGUGCACCUAUACAAAUUACCAUUGUAUUUGGUGUGUUGGGGACACAAGAGACUUUUUAUUAUUUGGUUGCAGGGUUGUUUGAGAGAGACCAUCUUCAUCCUACGCCUCCCACGGAUUGAUAAACCUUAGGUCAUCCACUUGAGAGAAAUUUGCUACUGUCCUACAAAACUCUGCGCUUGGAGGCCCAACACGUGUCUACAAUAAUAAAGUUGCGUAGUAGACCUCAAGCUCUUUUCUGGCGCCGUUGCUGGGGAGGCUAGGUAAGAGACACUCACACCCCAUCAACGAAGCUCUUUUCUGGCGCUGUUGCCGGGGAGGUGAGUGCAUGAAGGUAUAUCUUUAGAUCUUGCAAUUGAAUCUUUAGUUUCAUGUUUUAUCACUAGUUUGGUUUAUAAAAGAAAACUACAAAAAUGGAAUUGAGGUUGCAUCAUAUUAUUCAUCUUUAUAAUGUCUUUCAUGAAAAUGAUGGAAAGGAAAAUUGUGCUCAAUUGAUAGAAGAAGAAUUCAACAGAAUGUUUGGUAUAAAUGAUGAGCAUGAUUGCAAUGUUGUUAGUAUGAAUUCUUUGAAUAUCCAUGAUGCUAAUGAUAUGCAAAGCCAUAAGCUUAGGGAUGCUAUGUUUGAUGAAUAUGAUAUUUUUAGUCCCCCAAGAUUUUAUGUGCAAAUUUGUUAUAAUGAUUGCAUGCCUCCUAUUUAUGAUGAUUAUAAUGAUGAAAGUGGAUUUGGAGAGGUCAUGACCUUAUUUAGUGAUGAAUCCACCAUUUUGGAUGAGGCUUCAAUUGACUAUGAUAACAAAGUUGCUAUCUAUGAUGAUUAUGGUGAUGACAUGUAUGCUAUAAAGAAUAAUGAUAACCAUGAAACUUGUCAUCAUGAUUUUAAUUUUCACUCUCAUGAUAGUUAUUUUGUUGAGUUUGCUCCCACUACUAUUGAUGAGAAGAAAUUUGCUUACGUGGAGAGUAAUAAGUUUUCUAUGAUUUUGUGUCAUGAAAAGAAUGCUUUAUGUGAUGGUUAUAUUGUUGAAUUUAUUCAGGAUGCUACUGAAAAUUAUUAUGAGGGAGGAACUUAUGCUUGUAGGAAUUGCAAUAAUAUCAAGUUUCCUCUCUAUGUGUUGAAAGUUUUGAAGUUAUGCUUGUUUUGCCUUCCUAUGCUAGUUGAUUCUUGUUCCCAUGAAUUGUUGCUCACAAAAUCCCUAUGCAUAGGAAGUGGGUUAGACUUAAAUGUGUUUGCCAUGUGGUUCAUGAUGCUACCGUUAUGUUUCAAUUCUUUACUUCUAUGUGAGCAUCAUUGAAGUCAUCAUGCCUAGCUAAAAGGCAUUAAAGAAAAACACUUGUUGGGAGAAAACCAACACUUUUACCUACUGUUUUUUGUGUUCACAUGAUUAAGCUACUGUAGUAAUCAUGUUUUAUAGGUUUUAUUUCAAUAAAGUGCCAAGUAAAGCCUUUGGGAUAGUGUGGAUGAUAGUUGACUUGCUUCUGUGCAAAAAACAGAAACUUCUGCGUCCAGUGCAGGAAUUCUUAUAUUUUACUGGAAUGUGGAAAAAUUCUGAUUUUUUUUUACUAUUGAUGUGUAUACAAAUUCUCUACGUUGCCCUAAUUUUUCAGAAUUUUUGGAGUAGUAGAAGUAUGGUAGUUAUCCAGAUUACUACAGACUGUUAUGUUUUUGACAGAUUUUGUUUUCAAUGCAUAGUUUCUAUGGCUUAUAUUGCUCAGUAUAAAUUGUGGAAAUGAUAUGCUACAGUAGGCAUUGUGUGGAAACAAUUAUGAAUCUUGUCUUUGACAGUACCAAAGUGGAAUGGUUUGCUCUUUAUCAUACUAACCUACACUGGUAUGGGUCGGUGCUAUACAAACGGUUUUCAACCCCUUUCCGCGACGGCGUUCGGAACCGUCACCUAGUGAGUGUGGGUGAUAGGGGGGUCCUUCCCACACGACCCAGAAACCGUCGGGGAUAUGCCCUCCUGGCACACACGCUCGGCAAAAUGAGGCCGUGUGCGACCGGCGAGCACUCAAAUACAGAAAUACGUACAAUAGUGCUAAAAAAUACAAUUAUACAGGUGAAAUCAUUUCCGGUCGUAAGUACAUCCCACACAGUCAGUCACCGCUAAACGUUUCCGUUCGUAUAUACAUCCCACACAGUCACUCCAAGGAAAACGUUUGCGCAAGGUGGCGUAACGCAAACAGUUUUCAAGAGAAUGUCGUGUGUGAUUGUUUAUUGAUCCAACACGGUUUAUUCCUAGAAACUGUGUGCGUUGCCUGAGGUCAUUGCCCACGGUGUUUUCUCAAUAACCGUUUGCAAUAGGAAAACCCAAUUAGCAAGCUAAUUGGCCAAUUAUCGGGCUAAUUGCCCUAUUAUUAAUAAUCCAUUUACUAAUCUAAUUGGCAUUCAUAUUAAGCACAUAAUAUAUUCCAUUUCCAUAUUAAGGAAGCAGGAUUUCGUAAUUGAAAUACAUUGGAGUACAACAUUAUAUAGCUUCAGCACUCAGCUACCCCAUUACACAACUGCACCAGCAACAAGUUUCACAUGCAACAUCUAGAACCUUUCGAAAUUAGCAUCAUAGACGGUACAUAGAGAGAUGCAUCUCAUCUGGAAAACUGCUGAAGCGGAAGGCGAAUAUUGAGCCUUCAUUCAUGUUGAAGGUCUUUGCAACUUUAGGCCAGUGUCUGUGGAUGAUUGACCGUCCAUCCUUCGACCUCUUCAAGAACACUUAAAUAUUGAACCGUGGGUGUUGUAUGAAAACUUUCCCCGCCUCCUGACCACAGAGGUGGUUUGAGAGGUAAUCAUUAGUGAAGCCUGAAAACAAGGAUGUGCAUAAAUAUCUUCUCUAUAUUGGAAAUGGGGCAAAGGAAUAAAAAAAGCAAGGUAUAAAAGUUAGUACCAUUUGUAAACCUCAGUGCUUCCCAUUGUUUCCCUGCAACACAUAUAAGGUAGUUAGUCAUCAGGUUAAGUAAGGGUUCACAUGCUAUCAAUAAAAUAUGUUGAUUAUAAAUAAGCACAUUGCAGAUUCAUCAGAUUAAUUCAAGCCACAUGGAAAACCAUUUAUCCAAACCAAGCAUGAUUAAGAACUAGGAAAUAUAGCACUUGUAUAUGUUUCUCAUGUAUUAAGUGCAGCCAAAUUCGAUUUAUUCCUCACAUGGUAUACAAUAACAGAAUGCAGCCACAACAAUUGAACAUCGCAUUGCAGAAUUGAACCAAGCAGUUAACUAAACACCACAACAAAUGAACCAAACGUUAAGUGAGCACCACAUUGCACAAUAUAACAUACUCCUAAUAGAAGAUCAGACAGUUAACCAAACCAAGCAUGCUUAACAACUUGGAAAUAUAGCAAUUAUAUUUGUUUCUCAUGUAUUUAGUACAGCCAAAAUCGAUUUAUUUCUCAGAUGGUAUACAAUAACAGAAUGCAGCCACAACAAUUGAACAUCGCAUUGCAGAAUUGAACCGAGCAGUUAACUAAACACCACAACAAAUGAACCAAACAUUAACUGUGCACCACAUUGCACAAUAUAACAUACUCGUAAUAGAAGAUUAGACAGUUAACCAAACCAAGCAUGCUUAACAACUUGGAAAUAUUGCACCCUGAAGAAUUGGACAUCACAUUUGCAGAAUUGAACCAAGCAGUUAACUGAACACCACAUUGCACGACAUAUACAACAUAUACACUAUAGCAGAAGAUUGCAUGGUAAAAAGUAGAUAGCACAAUUCACUAGAAUUUGUUAAGGAAAGACAGUAGCUAGCAAACUGAACAUGGGUCCUUAUAGUGAGCUAAUAAGACAAGCUACUCCUCAUUGUCGGAGAUAUCAAUGACGAUUGGCUCCUUGUACAUGGAAGAGGGCGAGGCCUCCGCAUCAUGGGUGCCCUCAUUGUAGUGGUGAGUUGCCUAAGCUGCUCCGGGCACCAACCUGUUGGCUCUCGAGAUGAGGUAAGCACGUGCACGCUGAGAAAACACCUCGUAGUCUUCGUCGAAGGCACCGACGGUGGCCUCAAGAAAACGCCACGAACUGUCGUUUAAAGCAGCCAACCGUGUCGCGGCGUCGGUGCGUGAGGCAUAAACGGUGGCCUCGACGGUGAGGUGCUCCUCCAAGAUCUGGGGGUCGGCACGAAUGGCAGCCAUCGCGACCUCAUCCGCGCGUGCCGCCGCGAUUUGCUUCUCCGCUGCAAAUGCUCCUUGAGAUCCUGGCUAUACUGCAUGCACCAUGGCUUAGGCCGGCGCUUAUUUGGUGGAGGGGUUGGUGAUUUGGGUGGAAGGUGUCGCGCUCGCGCCGGUGGUCGGGGCAUGUGGGAUGUGGAAGGGGGAGGAGGAUGGGGGUCGGGUGUGGAUUACCUGCCUGGAUAGGCGAGGCCGAGCAGCGUGAAGGAGGGUCGCCGGUGAGGAGGCGGUGCUGCAAGCAAGGAGUGAAGGUUUCAACUUGGAAAGGAAGGCGGAAACAUGGGAAAUGUAGCUUUUGGAAAGGGGGAGGGGGGCGGGGAGGAAGAUAUUUCCGCAGAAGCCGAAAAUUUGGAAUCGCUUCAGCGAAAAAACUGGCGCGCAAAGUGUCAUCAGACAUGGUCCCUUAUUCAGAGUGGGCUAUGGACUGUAGCCAUCGCACCUUCUCGCGUAAGCCAUGUGCGUACUAUACUCCGACGGUGCUCUAAGAUAUUUUGUGUUGCAUCUCACAUGGUUGGUUAUAAUAAACUGUGUGGGAUCUACUUGAUUUUUCGUCUUGAUUUGAAUUACUGUCGGAGUAAAUGGCCACAGGUAGCCUAACCGACUCCCCCUGGCUCUUUGAAAAAUUAUCAGGCCGAUCGAGCCUUCAAGCAUCCAAAGCACAGGGCCGCCUUCCCCUGGCCGGCUAUCUCACGAGCCGACUCCUGGACGGUGACCCGGCCCUAUAAACCUUCCCGAAGAGAACCUUCCCAAGGGUGCCGACUCCCAGAAGCCGGCCACAAGAUGACCGACUCCCAGAAGCCGGCCAAGAUUGCGCCCUCAAGGGCUGCACCCUUAUAACGGUGACGAGACGGGACGUGGCUACAGUACAGCCUGCCACCCCCCGAAUCCUGGAGCACGCGUGGCCACAGUGCGCCGUACGGGUCGGCCAUCCCCCGUCCGGCGCGGCACUGUUGCCAUGUUGACCAUGACGCCACCCACGAUAGGCGCCAGUACGGCCCGCGGGCGGCGGGCCCCUUCAGCCAGAGAGACGCUCGAAGGCGGCCAAGCCUCCCCCAGUCGGCCUGAGGCGUAGCCGGCUCCCAAUAGCCGGCUACCUCCCUCCCUCAAAGUAUGUGCAUCAUUAAGGAGACAAGACGAGGUAAGGCUACAGUGAGAGCCCGCCAGGCGGCGGCACUGUAGCCAUGCUUACCUCGACAAAGCCCUCGUCAUCAGGGGCGAGGCAACAGUAGCUAUCCACCGACGAGACCCCCAGGCGGUGGGGCCGGCCUGUCGGCCAAGAGGCCGGCAGCCGGCGGGACCCACCAGUCGGCGGAGAAGCCGGCGAACACAGACACUGACGGCUGGGACCCGCGCCCAGCCGGAUUACCAUUGUAUCCCUGGGGGGUAGGCCUAUAUAAACCCCCCAGGGCACCCAUGCAAAGGGUUGAUCUCUGAGAGUUCUAGACACCACAUAGAGAGAAAAGGAGAGCUAGCCUUGCCCUUCUUCUUCCUCUAGCAAAACAGCUCAAGGAGCACUUGUAGCUACUUGUGUUGAUCUAGUGAUCAUGCGGAGACCCCGCAGAGCAGGAUUAGGGGUGUUAUCUCCACGGAGAGCCCCGAACCUGGGUAAGAUCCGCCGGCGUGCAUGUCUUCGCCUUAUCCCAUUUCCAGGCACCGACGAUGUCUUACUGGCUCCCACAAUGAUAAGCCACCCGUUGGCAUAUGUCGCACCUACCACCCGACAUUUGGCGCCCACCAUGGGGCCAGGUGCACCGUCGUACGGAGAGCUGUUCUGGACGGGAACCCUUUUCCUCCCCCGCGAGCAUAGCCAGCCCGCCACGCCCGAUGGCGCUUGCCCCGACGCGCUGCAAGACGUCGACGACGCCUGCGCGGCGAGCUGCCUCGCCGAUCUUCUUGGCGAGGCUCGCAUCUCCGACGAGCCUGCGUCCGACGCGGGCACAGACUGCCCCGAGAGCCGCCUCGUCAGCCUCCUCGACCAGCUCCACGUCUCCAGCGAGCUUGCUGUGGACUUGGAGUUGGUCGGCUCCACCGACCCGAUGCUGGUCGACUCCGACACGGCGUCGCUUGACGCCUUCCCCACCAACGUGGUGAUCAUCAACGACCCUCUCCCUCGAGCCGAUAGUGGCAGCAGCGCUGUCACUGAGGUGCUGGUCAUCAGCCACGGCGCCGUCUCAGGCGAGAACGCCCAUGACGCCCUACAAGCGGCUGCACGACUUAUCCGUCCCCAUCCCGGCCGGCGCCGACGCCGAGACUCUGGAGGCACGCCGCCUCGCCCUCGUCGCGGAAGGCCAGAAGAUAUCAUCCAUCAGACGCCUCACUGAGGCUCACCAACGCGAAGUCGACCGCGCCGCCUUUGGCACGCCGCCUCCUGGCGGGCCGAGCCGAGCCGGCUUCGUCAAGAAGCGCGGCGCAGCCAUCGCCAGCAUGCUAGGAGCAGACCGCCCAGUCUACGCCACGCCGCUCCAGAACCUGCGUGCCGCCCAGGCGGCCGCAGACGAGCUGAACGGGCUGGGGGCCGACGAGCUUCCCUACAUGACUAGACGCAUCCAGCAGCUGAUCGACGCGGCUGCAGAGCGGCAUGAAGCCAGCGCCCGCGCUGAAAGUCCUCACCCACGCCGAGAGCACGACGCGACAUCCCGGACGCCGACUGCAGACGGCGCCCGCGCAAGAAAAGACAAGGAGUCGGCUGCUAGCAGCAGUCGGACUCGGCUCACCAUCGAGCGUGACGCAGAAGGCCGCCCCCGAGCUGUGGAACGACGAGGCGAUCCGCCUCCUCCCCCGCCUCGUGGGGAGAGAUAUCCCACCCCGCCGUCUGUUACGCAUCCGACUCUCGGCGGCCGACUGGGCCACCGCGAAGGAGUCGGCGAGAGUGACGCCCGCCACCGGAUCAACCGCCUAGCGCGAUCCCUGGCGCUAGAAGAAGAUGAUGUCGGCCCGCCUUGCUUUGGCCCCCGCAUCCGCGACGAGCCCUUCCCCAAAGGGUUCUCACUCCCAAGAGACACGCUGAAAUACAACGGCUCCAUGAAGCCGGAAGACUAGUUAAUCGACUACUCCACCGCAGACCGCAUAGCAAACGGCAACAGGCGCGUUGCCGUGAAAUACGUCCCGCUCAUGCUUCAAGGCACGACACGCACUUGGCUGAACAGCCUCAAGCCCUACUGAAGGAAAUAUGCCCUAGAGGCAAUAAUAAAGUUAUUAUUUAUUUCCUUAUAUCAUGAUAAAUGUUUAUUAUUCAUGCUAGAAUUGUAUUAACCGGAAACUUGAUACAUGUGUGAAUACAUAGACAAACAGAGUGUCACUAGUAUGCCUCUACUUGACUAGCUCGUUGGUCAAAGAUGGUUAUGUUUCCUAGCCAGACAUGAGUUGUCAUUUGAUUAACGGGAUCACAUCAUUAGGAGAAUGAUGUGAUUGACUAAACCCAUUCCGUUAGCUUAGCACUCGAUCGUUUAGUAUGUUGCUAUUGCUUUCUUCAUGACUUAUACAUGUUCCUAUGACUAUGAGAUUAUGCAACUCCCGUUUACCGGAGGAACACUUUGUGUGCUACCAAACGUCACAACGUAACUGGGUGAUUAUAAAGGUGCUCUACAGGUGUCUCCAAUGGUACUUGUUGGGUUGGCGUAUUUCGAGAUUAGGAUUUAUCACUCCGAUUGUCGGAGAGGUAUCUUUGGGCCCACUCAGUAAUACACAUCACUAUAAGCCUUGCAAGCAUUGUGACUAAUGAGUUAGUUGCGGGAUGAUGUAUUACGGAACGAGUAAAGAGACUUGCCGGUAACGAGAUUGAACUAGGUAUCGAGAUACCGAUGAUCGAAUCUCGGGCAAGUAACAUACCGAUGACAAAGGGAACAACGUAUGUUGUUAUGCGGUCUGACCGAUAAAGAUCUUCGUAGAAUAUGUGGGAACCAAUAUGAGCAUCCAGGUUCCGCUAUUGGUUAUUGACCGGAGAGGUGUCUCGGUCAUGUCUACAUAGUUCUCGAACCCGUAGGGUCCGCACGCUUAACGUUACGAUGACAGUUUUAUUAUGAGUUUAUGUAUUUUGAUGUACCGAAGGAGUUCGGAGUCCCGGAUGAGAUCAGGGACAUGAUGAGGAGUCUCGAAAUGGCCGAUACGUAAAGAUCGAUAUAUUGGACGACUAUAUUCGGACUUCGGAAAGGUUCCGAGUGAUUUGGGUAUUUUUCGGAGUACCGGAGAGUUACGGGAAUUCGUAUUGGGCCUUAAUGGGCCAUACGGGAAAGGAGAGAAAGGCCCCAAAGGGAGGCUGCACCCUCCCCAUGGACUAGUCCGAAUUGGACUAGGGAGGGGGGGCGCCCCCUUCCUUCUUUCUCCUUCUCCCUUCCCUUUUCCUACUCCAACAAGGAAAGGAGGAGUCCUACUCCCGGUGGGAGUAGGACUCCCCCCUUGGCGCGCCCUCCUCCUUGGCCGGCCGCCUCCCCCUUGCUCCUUUAUAUACGGGGGCAGGGGGGCACCCCAUAGACACAACAAUUGAUCUAUUGAUCUCUUAGCCGUGUGCGGUGCCCCCCUCCACCAUAUUACACCUCGAUAAUAUCGUUGCAGAGCUUAGGCGAAGCCCUGCGUCGGUAGAACAUCAUCAUCGUCACCACGCCGUCGUGCUGACGAAACUCUCCCUCAACACUCGGCUGGAUCGGAGUUCGAGGGACGUCAUCGAGCUGAACGUGUGCUGAACUCGGAGGUGCCGUGUGUUCGGUCGGAUCGUGAAGACGUACGACUACGUCAACCACGUUGUGUUAACGCUUCCGCUUUCGGUCUACGAGGGUACGUGGACAACACUCUCCCCUCUCGUUGCUAUGCAUCACCAUGAUUUUGCGUGUGCGUAGGAAUUUUUUUGAAAUUACUACGUUCCCCAACAGUGGCAUCCGAGCCUGGUUUUAUGCGUUGAUGUUAUGCACGAGUAUAACACAAGUGAGUUGUGGGCGAUAUAAGUCAUACUGCUUACCAGCAUGUCAUACUUUGGUUCAGCGGUAUUGUGAGAUGAAGCAGCCCGGACCGACAUUACGCGUACGCUUACGCGAGACUGGUUUCAUCGUUGCGAGCACUCGUUGCGAGCACUCGUUGCUUAAAGGUGACUGGCGGGUGUCUGUCUCUCUCACUUUAGUUGAACCGAGUGUGGUUACGCCCGGUCCUUGCGAAGGUUAAAACAACACCAACUUGACAAACUAUCAUUGUGGUUUUGAUGCGUAGGUAAGAACGGUUCUUGCUAAGCCCAUAGCAGCCACGUAAAACUUGCAACAACAAAGUAGAGGACGUCUAACUUGUUUUUGCAGGGCAUGUUGUGAUGUGAUAUGGUCAAGACAUGAUGCUAUAUUUUAUUGUAUGAGAUGAUCAUGUUUUGUAACCGAGUUAUCGGCAACUGGCAGGAGCCAUAUGGUUGUCGCUUUAUUGUAUGAAAUGCAAUCGCCAUGUAAUUGUUUUACUUUAUCACUAAGCGGUAGCGAUAGUCGUAAAAGCAAUAGUUGGCGAGACGACAACGAUGCUACGAUGGAGAUCAAGGUGUCGCCCCAGUGACGAUGGUGAUCAUGACGGUGCUUCGGAGAUGGAGAUCACAAGCACAAGAUGAUGAUGGCCAUAUCAUAUCACUUAUAUUGAUUGCAUGUGAUGUUUAUCUUUUAUGCAUCUUAUCUUGCUUUGAUUGACGGUAGCAUUAUAAGAUGAUCCCUCACUAAAUUAUCAAAGUAUAAGUGUUCUCCCUGAGUAUGCACCGUUGCGAAAGUUCUUCGUGCCGAGACACCACGUGAUGAUCGGGUGUGAUAGGCUCUACGUUCAAAUACAACGGGUGCAAAACAGUUGCACACGCGGAAUACUCAGGUUAAACUUGACGAGCCUAGCAUAUGCAGAUAUGGCCUCGGAACACGGAGACCGAAAGGUCGAGCGUGAAUCAUAUAGUAGAUAUGAUCAACAUAGUGAUGUUCACCGUUGAAACUACUCCAUCUCACGUGAUGAUCGGACAUGGUUUAGUUGAUAUGGAUCACGUGAUCACUUAGAGGAUUAGAGGGAUGUCUAUCUAAGUGGGAGUUCUUAAGUAAUAUGAUUAAUUGAACUUAAAUUUAUCAUGAACUUAGUCCUGAUAGUAUUUUUGCAAAUUAUGUUGUAGAUCAAUAGCUCGCGUUGUUGCUUCCCUGUGUUUAUUUUUGAUAUGUUCCUAGAGAAAAUUAUGUUGAAAGAUUUUAGUAGCAAAGAUGCGGAUUGGAUCCGUGAUCUGAGGAUUAUCCUCAUUGCUGCACAGAAGAAUUAUGUCCUUGAUGCACCGCUAGGUGACAGACCUAUUGCAGGAGCAGAUGCAGACGUUAUGAACGUUUGGCUAGCUCAAUAUGAUGACUACUUGAUAGUUUAGUGCACCAUGCUUAACGGCUUAGAAUCGGGACUUCAAAGACGUUUUGAACGUCAUGGACCAUAUGAGAUGUCCCAGGAGUUGAAGAUUAAUAUUUCAAGCAAAUACCCGAGUUGAGAGAUAUGAAGUCUCCAACAAGUUCUAUAGCUAAAAGAUGGAGGAGAAUAAGCUCAAGCAGUGAGCAUGUGCUCAGAUUGUCUGGGUACUACAAUCGCUUGAAUCAAGUGGGAGUUAAUCUUCCAGAUAAAAUAGUGAUUGACAGAAUUCUCUAGUCACCAUCACCAAGUUAGUAGAACUUCGUGAUGAACUAUAGUAUGCAAGGGAUGACGAAAGUAAUUCCCGAGCUCUUCGUGAUGCUGAAAUCGACGAAGGUAGAAAUCAAGAAAAACAUCAAGUGUUGAUGGUUGACGAGACCACUAGUUUCAAGAAAAGGGUAAAGAGAAGAAGGGGAACUUCAAGAAGAACGGCAAGCAAGUUGCUGCUCAAGUGAAGAAGCCUAAGUCUGGUACUAAGCCUGAGACUAAGUGCUUCUACUGCAAAGGGACUGGUCACUGGAAGCGGAACUACCCCAAGUAUUUGGUGGAUAAGAAGGAUGGCAAAGUGAACAAAGGUAUAUUUGAUAUACAGAUUAUUGAUGUGUAUUUUACUAGUGUUCAUAGCAACCCCUCGGUAUUUGAUACUGGUUCAGUUGCUAAAGAGUAGUAACUCGAAACGGGAGUUGCAUAAUGAACAGAAACUAGUUAAGGAUGAAGUGACGAUGUGUAUUGGAAGUGGUUCCAAGAUUGAUAUGAUCAUCAUCGCACACUCCCUAUACUUUCGGGAUUAGUGUUGAACCUAAAUAAGUGUUAUUUGGUGUUUGCGUUGAGCAUGAAUAUGAUUUGAUCAUGUUUAUUGCAAUACGGUUAUUCAUUAAGUUAGAGAAUAAUUGUUGUUCUGUUUACAUGAAUAAAACCUUAUACGGUUACACACCCAAUGAAAAUGGUUCGUUGGAUCUCAAUCGUAGUGAUACACAUAUUCAUAAUAUUGAAGCCAAAAGAUGCAAAGUUAAUAAUGAUAGUGCAACUUAUUUGUGGCACUGCCGUUUAGGUCAUAUUGGUGUAAAGCGCAUGAAGAAACUCCAUGCUGAUGGGCUUUUGGAAUCACUUGAUUAUGAAUCACUUGAUGCUUGCGAACCAUGCCUUAUGGGCAAGAUGACUAAGACUCCGUUCUCCGGAACAAUAGAGUGAGCAACUGACUUAUUGGAAAUAAUACAUACUGAUGUAUGCGAUCCGAUGAGUGUUGAGGCUCGCGGCGGGUAUCGUUAUUUUUCUGACCUUCACAGAUGAUUUGAGCAGAUAUGGGUAUAUCUACUUGAUGAAACAUAAGUCUGAAACAUUUGAAAAGUUCAAAGAAUUUCAGAGUGAAGUGGAAAAUCAUCGUGACCUGAUCGCGGAGACAAAUAUUUGAGUUACGAGUUUGGUCUUCAAUUAAAACAAUGUGAAAUAGUUUCACUACUCACGCCACCUGGAACACCACAGUGUAAUGGUGUGUCCGAACAUCGUAACCGUACUUUAUUAGAUAUGGUGCGAUAUAUGAUGUCUCUUACCGAUCUACCACUAUCGUUUUGGGGUUAUGCAUUAGAGACAGCUGCAUUCACGUUAAAUAGGGUACCAUCUAAAUCCAUUGAGACGACAUCUUAUGAACUGUGGUUUGGCAAGAAACCAAAGUUGUCGUUUCUUAAAGUUUGGGGUUGCGAUGCUUAUGUGAAAAAGUUUCAUCCUGAUAAGCUCAAACCCAAAUCGGAGAAAUGUGUCUUCAUAGGAUACCCAAAGGAGACAGUUGGGUACACCUUCUAUCACAGAUCCGAAGGCAAGACAUUCGUUGCUAAGUAUGGGUCCUUUCUAGAGAAGGAGUUUCUCUCGAUAGAAGUGAGUGGGAGGAAAGUAGAACUUGAUGAGGUAACUGUACCUGCUCCCUUAUUGGAAAGUAGUUCAUCACAUAAAUUAGUUCCUGUGACUACUACACCAAUCAGUGAGGAAGCUAAUGAUGAUGAUCAUGGAACUUCAGAUCAAGUUAUUACUAAACCUCGUAGGUCAGCCAGAGUAAGAUCCGCACCAGAGUGGUACGGUAAUCCUGUUCUGGAGGUUAUGUUACUAGACCAUGACGAACCUAUGAACUAUGAAGAAACGAUGGUGAGCCCAGAUUCCGCAAAAUGGCUUGAGGCCAUGAAAUCUGAGAUGAGAUCCAUGUAUGAGAACAAAGUAUGGACUUUGAUUGACUUGCCCAAUGAUUGGCGAGCCAUUGAGAUUAAAUGGAUCUUCAAGAGGAAGACGGACGCUGAUAGUAGUGUUACUAUCUGCAAAGCUAGAAUUUUUGCAAAAGGUUUUCGACAAGUUUAAGGUGUUGACUACGAUGAGAGUUUCUCACUCGUAUCUAUGCUUAAGUCUGUCCGAAUCAUGUUAGAAAUUGCCGCAUUUUAUGAAAUCUGGCAAAUGGAUAAACAAAACUGCAUUCCUUAAUGGAUUUAUUAAAGAAGAGUUGUAUGUGAUGCAACCAGAAGGUUUUGUCAAUCCUAAAGGUGCUAACAAAAUAUGCAAGCUCCAGCGAUCCAUCUAUGGACUGGUGCAAGCAUCUCGGAGAUGGAAUAUACGCUUUGAUAAGUUGAUCAAAGGAUAUAGUUUUAUACAGACUUGCGGUGAAACCUGUAUUUACAAGAAAGUGAGUGGGAGCACUACGGCAUUUCCGAUAAGUAUAUGUGAAUGACAUAUUGUUGAUCGGAAAUAAUGUAGAAUUAUUCUGCAAAGCAUAAAGGAGUGUUUGAAAGGAGUUUUUCAAAGAAAGACCUCGGUGAAGUUGCUUACAUAUGGAGCAUCAAGAUCUAUAGAGAUAGAUCAAGACACUUGAUAAGUUUUUUCAAUGAGUACAUACCUUAAUAAGAUUUUGAAGUAGUUCAAAAUGGAACAGUCAAAGAAAGAGUUUCUUGCCUGUGUUACAAGGUGUGAAAUUGAGUAAGACUCAAAGCCCGACCACGGCAGAAGAUAGAAAAAGAAUGAAAGUCAUUCCCUAUGCCUCGGCCAUAGGUUCUAUAAAGUAUGCCAUGCUGUGUACCAGAUCUAUUGUAUACCCUACACUGAUUUUGGCAAGGGAGUACAAUAGUGAUCUAGGAGUAUAUCACUGGACAACGGUCAAAAUUAUCCUUACUGGAAUAAGGAUAUGUUUCUCGAUUAUGGAAGUGACAAAAGGUUCGUCGUAAAGGGUUAUGUCGAUGCAAGUUUUGACACUAAUCUAGAUGACUCUAAGUCUCGGUCUAGAUACAUAUUGAAAGUGGGAGCAAUUAGCUAGAGUAGCUCCGUGCAGAGCAUUGUAGACAUAGAAAUUUGCAAAAUACUUACGGAUCUGAAUGUGACAGACCGUUGACUAAAAUUAUCUCACAAGCAAAACAUGAUCACACCUUAGUACUCUUUGGGUGUUAAUCACAUAGCGAUGUGAACUAUAUUACUGACUCUAGUAAACCCUUUGGGUGAUGGUCACAUGACGAUGUGAACUAUGGGUGUUAAUCACAUGGCGAUGUGAACUAGAUUAUUGACUCUAGUGCAAGUGGGAGACUGAAGGAAAUAUGCCCUAGAGGCAAUAAUAAAGUUAUUAUUUAUUUCCUUAUAUCAUGAUAAAUGUUUAUUAUUCAUGCUAGAAUUGUAUUAACCGGAAACUUGAUACAUGUGUGAAUACAUAGACAAACAGAGUGUCAAUAGUAUGCCUCUACUUGACUAGCUCGUUGAUCAAAGAUGGUUAUGUUUCCUAGCCAUAGACAUGAGUUGUCAUUUGAUUAACGGGAUCACAUCAUUAGGAGAAUGAUGUGAUUGACUAGACCCAUUCCGUUAGCUUAGCACACGAUCGUUUAGUAUGUUGCUAUUGCUUUCUUCAUGACUUAUACAUGUUCCUAUGACUAUGAGAUUAUGAAACUCCCGUUUACCGGAGGAACACUUUGUGUGCUACCAAACGUCACAAUGUAACUGGGUGAUUAUAAAGGUGCUCUACAGGUGUCUCCAAUGGUACUUGUUGGGUUGGCGUAUUUCGAGAUUAGGAUUUGUCACUCCGAUUGUCGGAGAGGUAUCUUUGGGCCCACUCAGUAAUACACAUCACUAUAAGCCUUGCAAGCAUUGUGACUAAUGAGUUAGUUGCGGGAUGAUGUAUUACGGAACGAGUAAAGAGACUUGCCGGUAACGAUAUUGAACUAGGUAUCGAGAUACCGACGAUCGAAUCUCGGGCAAGUAACAUACCGAUGACAAAGGGAACAACGUAUGUUGUUAUGCGGUCUGACCAAUAAAGAUCUUCGUAGAAUAUGUGGGAACCAAUAUGAGCAUCCAGGUUCCGCUAUUGGUUAUUGACCGGAGAGGUGUCUCGGUCAUGUUGUAGCGACCAGACCUCAAAUGGUCUGUGCUGCUGUGCACCAGUGUCAUCCCUGGAUCAGUAAUGCUGACACGCACAGUACAAACGGAGGAUUUAUAACAGAGUAGCAAUCACACACUUAUUACAUCGAAUAUCUCCGAAGAGAUCAAGUAUGAUAAACAUGGCUUAAGGCCAUCUGAUAACGAUAACAGCGGAAGACUUGAAAGAUAAGUGAGUCCAUCAACUCUAGCGGCAUCACUGAGUAUAAGACCACGACCUAAGGCACCUUACUCGUUGUCUGAAAAGUCUGCAACAUGAAACGUUGCGGCCCGAAAACGGGUCAGCACAUAGAAUAUGCUGGCAAUGUAACACAUAGAGAAUAAUGAACGAUAACAAUGCUAUACUAUAUGCAUAUAUGGCUGGUGGAAAGCUCUAUGGUUACAAUUUUGCGAAAAGCCAAUUUUAUCCUACCUCAAAGGAAUAAAUUUUAUUUAACUAUCAUGGUGGUUGUGAAACAUUGAGAUGGUUGACAGCAUCUCAAUCCCAAUUAAAUGUCAUCAAUAACCCAACAAAAUAAAUUAAUAGUAACAUAGUGAUGAGAUUCACAUGAUAAUCCAAGUACUAGAUACUCAAGUUGUCCAUAACCGGGGACACGGCUAACCAUGAUUAGUUUGUACACUCUGCAGAGGUUUGCGCACUUUUCCCCACAAGACUUGAUCGCCUCCGCUUGAUUCUCGCACUACAUGAUGUUUGAGAAACGGAUGACCGAGACACAGUCUUUCAGAAGUGUUUGCACCUUACGUAUGGGUAGACAGUUACACCUACUUUCCCCUACAUCUGCUAGUCUACCACUGUAAGAGUUCACACAACUUAGUCAACUAUGCUAGAGCCCAUAAUAGCUUGCGGCUGCACACAGAAGUUUCUAGCAUGAAUAAUCUCAUGAUCCCUUUGAACCUGGGUGGCGGUCCAAAAGAAAAACAGGCAAUCCUGGAAUACCCAGGUACCUCAAUCCACCCAGAUGUGAGUUUUAGUUGCCACCUUAAGUAAACCAUUAAUUAACAAUCUCACAUCUGUCAUGGAAAUCUCUCAAACCCAAUCCACGUCUACGAGCAUAGCAUGGCAAUAAUAAUAGCAAACGUAGAAGUAACUCCCAAGGGUUUGAUAAUAAAACAGGUAAUAGGUUCUACCUCAACUACUUCCCAAUACCCACAAUUUAAUUAGAUCCUAGUCAUGCAAUGUUUGAGGAAUAGAUCUAAUGCAAUAAAACUGGGUAUGGAAGGUAUAUGAUCAAAGUGUUACUUGCCUUGCUGAUGAUCCGCGAAACCUAACGAUUUGAAGUAACAAGCGGCACACUCCGGGUACUCUAUCGCAAACAAACAAGCAUACAAUCAGUACUCAUCUAAUGCACAGGUAAAACUCGAAUGAAAGAUCCAACCAGAAAGUUCAACUUAAGAACUCCGGUUUGCAAAAAGAAUCAACUCGAAAGAAGCAACGAAAGUCAAACGGCGAAAGAAAGAAACUUCGUUUACUAAUCUGGAUCUAGGUCAAAUUUUACUGUAGCAAAAACUUGUUUGAGUAGGUUAAACGGAAAGAGAAUUUCGAGACGAAACUCUAGGUGCUUGAAUCGCCUGAUUCCGAUAAACGAGCGAGAAGUUAAACAGAAUCGAAAAUUCGAUCAGAAAUCGAAUCUGAGAUAAUCGCAGAAAAAUCUGACGAAAAAGAAAAACGGAUGAACGGUUAAAGAAUGGACGUUCGUUCACAGAGAAAAACCGACGAACGCGUUCGUUAAAACGAACGGUUCGGUGAACGCUCGGAAAAUAAUAAAACCGAAAAAAACCGAUCUAGGGUUUUUUUUAUUUUUUUAAAACGAAGGGUUUUUUUAGAAGAAAACCGGCAACGACGAACGGGGCAGCGGCAGUACCUCGUCGGGGCGGCUCCGGCGAGGGCUCCGGCGGGGCGCGGGGUGCGGGGGUGCGGGCGGCGGCUCCCGGCGGCGGCGGCGNNNNNNNNNNNNNNNNNNNNNNNNNNNNNNNNNNNNNNNNNNNNNNNNNNNNNNNNNNNNNNNNNNNNNNNNNNNNNNNNNNNNNNNNNNNNNNNNNNNNNNNNNNNNNNNNNNNNNNNNNNNNNNNNNNNNNNNNNNNNNNNNNNNNNNNNNNNNNNNNNNNNNNNGCUCUGGGGCGGCUCGGUCCCGUGGCCAUGGCGGACUCCGGCGGCGCGGUGGCUCCCGUGCGGAGGAAGGAGAGGGCGCGGGCGGGCCGGCGCUCGGCUGGGCUUCGGCCCGGUCGGGCGUCGCGCAGUUUUUUUUUAAAUAAGUUCCGCGGAAAAUAAUUCGUAGAAAAAUAAAUAAAAAGCAGAAAAAUAUAAAAUAAAAUUUCCCCGUCUAGUUAGAAAAUCUAGAAUAGGGUGAACAUUUUUUUAAAUCAAAAUAUAUAUUUUGAAAACAUGCAAUAUUUUUAAUGCAAUAAAAAUUGCAAAAAAAAUCCGAAUAAAUUUCAAUAAAAGAUUUUAACAUUUUUCCUCCAGUAUUUCAAUUGUUUUGGAGAAGUCAUAUUUUCACCUCUCGUUUAUUUUUAAAAUGAAAUAUUUUUCCGGAGAGAAAAUAAUUAAAACCAAAAAUCCUCGUCUUAUUAUUUGAUGAAAAUCAAAUAUGAAAAUUCGAGAAAAUCCCCAACUCUCUCCGAGGGUCCUUGAGUUGCUUAGGAUUUAUCGAGGAUUUGUCAAAAUGCAAUAAAACAUGAUAUGCAAUGAUGAUCUAUGUAUAACAUACCAAAUUGAAAAUUUGGGAUGUUACACAUGUCUACAUAGUUCUCGAACCCGUAGGGUCCGCACGCUUAACGUUACGAUGACAAUUUUAUUAUGAGUUUAUGUAUUUUGAUGUACCGAAGGAGUUUGGAGUCCCGGAUGAGAUCAGGGACAUGACGAGGAGUCUCGAAAUGGCUGAGACGUAAAGAUCGAUAUAUUGGACGACUAUAUUCGGACUUCGGAAAGGUUCCGAGUGAUUCGGGUAUUUUUCGAAGUACCGGAGAGUUACAGGAAUUCGUAUUGGGCCUUAAUGGGCCAUAUGGGAAAGGAGAGAAAGGCCCCAAAGGGAGGCCGCACCCCUCCCCAUGGACUAGUCCGAAUUGGACUAGGGAGGGGGGGCGCCCCCUUCCUUCUUUCUCCUUCUCCCUUCCCUUUUCCUACUCCAACAUGGAAAGGAGGAGUCCUACUCCCGGUGGGAGUAGGACUCCCCCCUUGGCGCGCCCUCCUCCUUGGCCGGCCGCCUCCCCCUUGCUCCUUUAUAUACGGGGGCAGGGGGGCACCCCAUAGACACAACAAUUGAUCUAUUGAUUUCUUAGCCGUGUGCGGUGCCCCCCUCCACCAUAUUACACCUAGAUAAUAUCGUUGCGGAGCUUAGGAGAAGCCCUGCGUCGGUAGAACAUCAUCAUCGUCACCAUGCCGUCGUGCUGACGAAACUCUCCCUCAACACUUGGCUGGAUUGGAGUUCAAGGGACGUCAUCGAGCUGAACGUGUGCUGAACUCGGAGGUGCCGUGCGUUCGGUACUUGAUCGGUCGGAUCGUGAAGAUGUACAACUACAUCAACCGCGUUGUGUUAAUGCUUCCGCUUUCGGUCUACGAGGGUACGUGGACAACACUCUCCCCUCUCGUUGCUAUGCAUCACCAUGAUUUUGCGUGUGCGUAGGAAUUUUUUUGAAAUUACUACGUUCCCCAACACCUACAGCAUCAACAGCUGGCUCGACUUCACGGAAGUUCAUCCGCAACUUCACCAGCACGUACAAGCGGCCUCCCAAGCCCCGCCAGGUCUCCUUGUGCGUCCAAGGGCCCAGCGAAUCAACUCGCGACUACCUCACACGUUGGGCCGAUCUCCGCAACUCCUGCGAGGGGGUGCACGAGGUUCAAGCCAUAGAGUACUUCACCGCCGGGUGCCGAGAGGGCACCCUCCUCAAGCACCGACUCCUCUGCGACGAGCCCACUACCCUCGAUGUGCUGCUGAUCAUAGCAGACAAGUACGCCACGGCCGACUCUUCAAUGAAGACCGAGCUUCGAGUGGAUGCCUCUGGAAAGGUGCUCGCUCCGGCUCCCAAGACGCCGGCUGGUGACUCCAACCGACGCCCUUACCAGAACGACAACAAGCGCAAGGCCCCUAUGCCGCCUUCCACCAGUCGGCAAGUAGCCUCAGUCGAAGACGAACAGCCCGAAGAGCGGCCCGCGCCCAAGAAGCAGAAGGGCGGCAGGCCGGCUUGGCAGCCGACUUUCUCCUACGAGCAAACCCUUGAUGCCCCCUGUAAGUUCCACAGCGGCGCGAAGCCGUCCAACCACACGACCCGGAAGUGCCAUUGGCUCACGCGGAUCUCCAAGGGCGAGGGGCUGGUGCCGCCUCCACCUGCUGGCCCGCCGCCUCCUUACCCUCAGCAGCCGGCUGUUCGCCCCGUAGUCGGAGCCAUUCAAGAUGAGUUCCCAGACGAGCACGCCGCCUACGUCGUCUUCACCAGCCAAACUGAAGAUAGGCGCAGUCGGUGCCGACAACACCAAGAAGUCAACGCAGUUGCCUCCAACAACCCAGAGUUUAUGCUUUGGUUUGAGAAGCCCAUCAGCUGGAGCCGGGCCGAUCACCCAGAGGUGAUGCCGUCUCCAGGCUCCUACGCAUUGGUGUUGGACGCCACCCUCGCGACAGAAAGGCGAGCUGCCCGUUUCUCCAGUGUACUGAUUGACGGUGGAAGCAACAUCAAUAUACUAUACCGUGACACCAUGGAGAAGCUGAACCUCAAGACGAAGCAACUCAUGCCAAGCCGGACUGUGUUCCAUGGCAUCGUACCCGGCCUGUCCUGUUCCCCAAUCGACAAGAUCAAGAUGGAUGUUCUCUUCGGAGACAAGGAUCACUUCCGCCGAGAGGCGAUCUGGUUUGAAGUGGUGGAUCUAGAGAGCCCUUACCACGCAUUGCUUGGCCGACCUGCCCUGGCCAAGUUCAUGGCUGUGCCCCACUACGCCUACCUCAAGAUGAAGAUGCUGAGUUCAAAGGGGAUCAUCACCGUAGCCGGAGACUACAAGAAAUCCUCCGAGUGUGCUGCAGCCAGCAGCCGGCUGGCCGAGUCCCUUGUGAUUGCUGAAGAGAAGAAGAUGCUGGACCGAGUCGUGGCCAUGGCUGGCAAGCAGCCGGCCCAUUCCCCUGACCCCAAGGAAUAUGAUGCUCAAGGCUCCUUCCAGCCAGCCAAGGAAACAAAGAAGAUACCUCUGGACCCGGAGAACCCAGAGAGGUUUGCUGUCAUUGGUGCAAACCUGGACAGCAAAUAGGAAGGCGAGCUCGUCGACUUCCUCCGUAAGAAUCGGGACAUCUUUGCAUGGUCCCCAAAGGAAAUGCCGGGUGUUCCGAAGGAUUUCGCCGAGCACAAGCUACACGUUCAAGCAGACGCAAAACCAGUCAAGCAACCUCUCCGCCGACUGUCGGAGGAGAAGAGAAGGAUAGUGGGAGAAGAGAUAGCCCGGCUCCUGGCAGCCGGCUUCAUUAUGGAGGUGUUUUUUCCAGAAUGGCUUGCCAACCCGGUCCUGGUAUUGAAGAAAAACAAUAAAUCAUGUAUGUGUAUAGAUUACACCAGCCUCAACAAAGCCUGCCCCAAAGAUCCGUUUGCCUUACCACGAAUCGAUCAAGUGAUAUACUCCACAGCCGGAUGCGAGCUGUUGAGUUUCUUGGAUGCUUACUCAGGCUACCACCAGAUCAAGUUGGAUCCAGCCGACCGCCUGAAGACCGCCUUCAUCACACCAUUCGGAGCAUUCUGCUACCUGAAUAUGACAUUCAGCUUGAGAAAUGCCGGUGCCACUUUUCAGCGUUGCAUGCAGAAAUGCCUCCUCAAGCAACUCGGCAGAAAUGCCCACGUCUAUGUAGCCGAUAUUGUGGUGAAGACGGAGAAGCGUGGCACCCUGCUGGAAGACCUCAGAGAAACAUUUGCCAACUUGCGCCGGUUUCAGAUCAAGCUCAACCCUGAGAAAUGCGUGUUCGGAGUACCAGCCGGCCAGCUUCUAGGCUUUUUGGUCUCCGAACACAGCAUCGAGUGCAACCCAGUGAAGAUCAAGGCCAUAGAGAAAAUGGAGAUUCCUACCAAGCUGCGAGACGUCCAGAAGUUUACCGGGUGCCUGGCCUCCCUAAAUUGCUUCAUCAGCCAGCUAGGAGAGAAGGCUCUCCCCCUGUACCGACUCAUGAAGAAGUCCACCCACUUCGAGUGGAACGACCAAGCAAACCAAGCUUUCCACGAGUUGAAGAAGAUGCUGACCACGCCACCUGUCUUGGCAGCACCGACUGAGAAAGAGCCCAUGCUCCUUUACAUUGCCGCGACUAGCCGAGUGGUCAGCACAGUGAUUGUGGUCCAACGCCCAGAAGAAGGCCGGGCUCAGUUAGUCCAGAGGCCGGUGUAUUAUUUGAGCGAAGUACUGUCCACCUCGAAGCAAAACUACCCGCACUACCAGAAGAUGUGCUAUGGAGUAUACUUUGCUUCCCAGAAGCUGAAGCCCUACUUUCAAGAGCAUCCCAUCACGGUCGUAUGUACUGCCCCGCUCGCUGAGAUCAUAGGCAGCCGGGAUGCAUCCGGCCGGGUGGCUAAGUGGGCCAUUGCGCUGGCUCCUUACACGAUCUUCUACCAGCCCCGCACCGCCAUCAAGU